CAUAUUUUCCCUUAACUUUUAGAAAAUAAGAACUGCAGUUUCAUUACAAUAUAGAAAAAAAGAAAAUAAAAAAAUGGUAUUGCAUAAAUAAUCAAAUCCUAUUUUUUCCCCUAUAUGUUUACAUACUUUAAUAAAAUAAAAUAAGGGAUAAAUAUAAUUUUUCUUAAUAAAAUUACUUAAUUGUCAGGAAUUAUAAUUUUAUUUUUAUAUAAUAUUAUGAAUACAUAUAAAUAACUUUAAUAUAAAUUAUUAAAAAUUUAAAAUAUAACUAUAAUAUUUUAUAGUAAUUAUAUUUUAAAUAAUCGACAUACGAUGAAUAAUUUAUUUUAAUAACCAUUUUAUUUAUAAUUUAAUCAAUAAAUUUUAUCAUUACUUUUAAUUUUUUUUAAUGUCUAAUCAAUUUUCGCCCUUCAUUAUUUGAAAAUUAUAUAUAUUGGAUCAGUAAUGUGAUUUUUACAAAUUAAUUUUUCUAUAAUCCUCAAUAGAAACAAAAAGGAUAAGAAAGGAGUUGCUAAUUAUUCUUUAAUUUUGCAAAAGCCAAACAACUAAUAGUUCAUAAAUUUUAUAUCAGAAAAAUAUUAUUUUUCUUUUUUAAAAUUAAUAAUUUUGUAAAAAUUUAAUCGAAUUAAUUUUUUAAAAUAAUUUUAAACAAAUGAAACAAUUGAGUUAUUUUUAACUUAAUAAAAUUUUAUUAUAAACAAGAAGUAGAAACAUUAAUAAGCAAAACCGCAAAAAUUGGACUUCAACGGCAAAGCCAGGGGCUAUCUUUUUUUUAAGUGGAAUGCUAUUGUUUUCCUCUGUUUCCAUUUGGAAUCCCCUGGCUGAAAUUUCUGUAAUUGCUCGCAAAAUUGCAUAUUUUAACCGCCCUGCUUUGCAAUACAUGUGAAUUAUUAUUAUUAUUAUUUUUUUUUCUUUCUUUCUUUCUUUCUUUCCUUCAUGUCUGUUUAAGGCUUCUAAUUCUCAAUUCCAUUUUAUGACGAAUAUAAGCUGUUUUUUUUAGGAAUAAAAGCUAACACUGCAAUUAUUUAGCUAGAUUCGAUUCAGCGAUUAAAAAUAGAGUGAUUUAUAAUUUAGUCCCUGGAUAUUGCCAUUAUUAACAAGUCAGUCCCUGUAUUUUUAGAAACCUAUUAAAACGUCUUUAUGUUUUAUUUCCGUCAAUGAAAUAGUCAUUCCAUUCUAUUUUCCGUUAAAAUUAGAUAANNNNNNNNNNNNNNNNNNNNNNNNNNNNNNNNNNNNNNNNNNNNNNNNNNNNNNNNNNNNNNNNNNNNNNNNNNNNNNNNNNNNNNNNNNNNNNNNNNNNNNNNNNNNNNNNNNNNNNNNNNNNNNNNNNNNNNNNNNNNNNNNNNNNNNNNNNNNNNNNNNNNNNNNNNNNNNNNNNNNNNNNNNNNNNNNNNNNNNNNNNNNNNNNNNNNNNNNNNNNNNNNNNNNNNNNNNNNNNNNNNNNNNNNNNNNNNNNNNNNNNNNNNNNNNNNNNNNNNNNNNNNNNNNNNNNNNNNNNNNNNNNNNNNNNNNNNNNNNNNNNNNNNNNNNNNNNNNNNNNNNNNNNNNNNNNNNNNNNNNNNNNNNNNNNNNNNNNNNNNNNNNNNNNNNNNNNNNNNNNNNNNNNNNNNNNNNNNNNNNNNNNNNNNNNNNNNNNNNNNNNNNNNNNNNNNNNNNNNNNNNNNNNNNNNNNNNNNNNNNNNNNNNNNNNNNNNNNNNNNNNNGAAGAAAGAGAAGAAGCAGAAGAAGAAGAAGCAAAAGGAAGAAGAAUUGAUGAAGAAGAAAAGGAAGGAGGAGGAGAAAAAUAAUUGGAGGUAAUUUAGUAUUUUACUAUAUUUUUAACGGCAAAAAUAGACAGAAGGACUAUUUCGUUGACGGAGAGAAAAUAUAAGGAUGUUUUAAUAGAUUUCUAAAAAUACAGAGACUGACUUGUUAAUAAUGUCAAUACCCAAAGACUAAAUUGUAGAUCUCCCUUAAAAAUAUAUUAUUCACUUGAAAUAUCCAAAUUUGAGUAUUCGCACUCUCAAUCCGUACACAAAAUAUAAUGUAUUAAAAAAAACACUAACACCACAAUCCUUGCUUUGCAGAAUAGGAGUGUCUUUGGGCUCCAACAGAUUUUUAGUAAGCAUGCUGCAUUUGAAGUUAUAUCUUAUUUGGGCCUUAGGCCUUUAUUUUAACAAAGUCUCUAUCUUUGAAAAAUAAAAGAAAAAAAAGACACAUGUUAAAGAAAGAGGGGAUAGUUAAGAUGUCGUCUUACCUUAAUAUUGAUUUGGUACAUAAAUUUCAGAUAUAGUUUAAUAACUUAAAUAAUUCAUAUUUUGUUUUGAUUCUUUUUUAUUUUCCAUAUUUUUCAUCUCGUUUAGUUAUGUUUAGCUUUGUGCAUGUCGUUGUUCUUGUCUAUAGAUUGCUUUCUAGGCAUGCCGCGGUCAUCUUCUCUAAUUGUUUUCCUGAUGAGGAUGGAUGGCAGUGGCUUGGCAAUUUCAGGCAGUGAGGUGAUGGAGUUGGACAGGACUGCAUCUAGGUUGUUGGCUUUGACUAUAGAUGUGGGUUAUGCUAUGAGUUGAGUUUGGGUUGGACUUUCUUUAGCUUAGCUUAUAUGAUCUGCUGAUUAAUGGCCUUUAUAAAUUACUUUUCCGCUUAAUUUGUUGCAAUUUUACUUUGUUAUUUGUCAAUCAAUUAAUUAUUAAAAAUCGCGUAUUCAGUAUGCGGACACUGCUGUAAAGAUAUUCUUGCUAUAUUUUCUAUAAAUGAGGUAUUUCUCUCUUAUAAAUAUUUGGAUUUGCCACUACUUCUGUGACGUUUGCGUUAAAAAACUUUAGCUGCCGUAAGAGAUUGCGUCAAGAUUAAAAUAUAGUCAUGGGAGUAAAAAUUAUUAUCACAUACUAAUUGGGCUAUAAUGAUUCAAUCGGUGUUAACUGCUAUACCCAAUUAUUGGAUGUAUGUUUUUUUGUUUCUCAAGCAAUUUUUCUGCUAAGCUAAAUAGUUUGCUCUCUAGAUUUUGGUGGGGUGGUGAUGCGAACUUUUCGAAACUUAAAUGGGUUAGUUGGAAUUGUUCCUGUGAAUCAAAACUUUAUGGGAAUUUGGAAUUUAAAUAAUUUGACAGUUUCAAUCUAGCUUGCUUGCAAAGCAGCACUGGCGACUAGUUCAUCACCUGAUGAACUGUAUGGGCAAGAGUGUUAAAAGCAUUAUAUUUUUCUCAUAUAUCUAUAAGGGAUGCUGUAUAUAAGUGGAAUAAUUCUUGGAUUUGGCAAAGCCUCUAGGAUGGGCGUGAUGUACCGCAUGAAGGGAUAUGUAUAAAUAUUGGUGAUGGUAGAUCCACUCAUAUUUGGUCUGAACCCUGACUGACUGAGUUAACUAGAUUUCAUCUGCAGCAACCCUUGGUGGUUCUGACUAAUGUUCGGAUCACUAAUCAACUACCAUUUUCUAAAAUGGAAUCACUAGCUCCUCACCUCUCACCACAUGAGGUCACUCAAAUUUCAUUAAUAUCAGUUACUCCUAGCAGCACUCCAAAUCUUUUAGUUUGGCGUCAUACUAUGACUGGAUUUUACACUGUGCGUUCUGUUAUCGACUUUUACUACAUCAUCACCAGCUUUUAGGUCUAAUUUUGUUACCAUCUUUUUCUAUAUAUCCUAGUUGUGGUGCAUUGAAGAGUAUUUGGUUCAUUCCGGUCGUACUGAAGCUGAGAUUUUUCAUUUGGAGAUCACUUCAUAAUAUUUUGCCUGUUUUAGCUAGUUUAGUAAGGCGUGGCUAUUUAUCUAAUUCUCAAUGUAAGCUUUUUUACUCUGAACUUGAUACUCUCAACCAUAUGGCUUUUCACUGUUUCUUUACCGGUUUAAUAUGGUUUGCUAGCCCGUGUACAUAUAAGCCUCUGACUUUGCUUUUCCUUAUUUUCUUACCUUGUGGGAGGCUCUUUUAGCACUGUCCAAAUUGGAUUCGAAAUGUUUGAGACUUUUAACUCUUUCCACACUUAUACUCCGACACAUUUGAAAAGAGUGUAAUUAUUGCGUUUUCGAUAAAGUUCCUCCUGACCUUAUGCAUGUUGUGUCUUGUAUCUUAUUUGAUUUCUCAUAAUUACAACUCGGUGGGAUUUUUGUUGAUUCUUCUUCGCAUCCUUCUCAUAUGUCAGCUACAGACAAGAGUUUGCUUACUUGCUCUCUGGAUUGUGUUUUAUUACACUAUGAUGUCUCAUAGAAGAAUCAAUUUUCUCCUACUGUUAUGCUUAUUAUCACUGAUCGGGUUGGAUAAGUUAUUCAUUCAGGUGUUUAUCGGUCAUUACACGUAAAGCUCAAGUUUUGUUAGAUGGUAUUAAAUUGGUUGUGUCUCUAGGACUAUCAUUCCUCAUGUGUGACACAAACUUUCAUAUUUUAUAUUCCGUUGUCCAGUACCUUGGCAAAUUAUUAGUAGCAUUUAUUUUAUAGGUUUGCUCUGUUUGUAAUAAGUUUCCUUUUGACAUAUUCAUCCAUAUUUGAAUAUUAGCUAAACUCUAUCGUCUGAAUUUACUUUUUUAAUAUUGGCUUUUGUACAACCCGUGUUAUUUAUAAUCUCUUUUAUAGUCUUGCUACUUUAGUAUUUUUGGAAAUGUAAUUUAUUUACCGUUAAAAAAAAUUAUAUAAAAAAGUUACUAGUAUUAAAAUAUGGGCUAUAGGCCUACGAAUACAUUUUGUGCAUGCAUUUGUUUAAAGCUGGUGUCUUGCCCAAAUAAAUGACUCCUCCUAAGUAGGCCACUGCCCAAGAUGGAUUUUUCUUUCUCAGUUUACCGGAUUUUCUUUCUAUUUGAAUCCAUAGGAUGUUUAGCAUAAAUUGUACUUAAUCUAAUAUAGUGUUUUUUUUUUACUUAUUAGCAUUUUUCCAUUAAUAUUANNNNNNNNNNNNNNNNNNNNNNNNNNNNNNNNNNNNNNNNNNNNNNNNNNNNNNNNNNNNNNNNNNNNNNNNNNNNNNNNNNNNNNNNNNNNNNNNNNNNNNNNNNNNNNNNNNNNNNNNNNNNNNNNNNNNNNNNNNNNNNNNNNNNNNNNNNNNNNNNNNNNNNNNNNNNNNNNNNNNNNNNNNNNNNNNNNNNNNNNNNNNNNNNNNNNNNNNNNNNNNNNNNNNNNNNNNNNNNNNNNNNNNNNNNNNNNNNNNNNNNNNNNNNNNNNNNNNNNNNNNNNNNNNNNNNNNNNNNNNNNNNNNNNNNNNNNNNNNNNNNNNNNNNNNNNNNNNNNNNNNNNNNNNNNNNNNNNNNNNNNNNNNNNNCAAAACCUCCAUGAAUAAGACAAUAUAUAUUUAAACUAUUAAUAUUCACUAAAAAAAAGACAUUGUGACACUUGAGUUUUAAAAACAUCUUAUAAUAUAAAAAUUAUUAUUAAUAUGAUCUUAUGUUCUUAACAUAAGAUUUAUUACUUAAUUGUACUAUUAAUAAUUAAAAUAACUUAAUAAUAAUAAUUAUAUAUAAUUUACAAAUUUUAAAAUUAAAACUCAUCUUAUUUUUUAUAUAUUUAAAAUAAUUAUUUUUAAUAUUUAAAUUAAUAAAAUAUUAUAAAAAAAUUUACGCUAUUUGCCUAUUUUAAUUUUAAAUAAUUCCUAUGGGCCAUAAUAUUUUUAAAUUUUAAAGUGUCAAAGCACUUUUCCAAUAUUCUACGCAUGUCAUGUUUGUGUAAAUGCACGAUUUUUCAAUUUGAUUUGAGUUGGGAUAAUGGCCUUGAAAAUAAUUCAUUUUUGUCUUAUCAAGCUUACAGCCGCGUUAUAUGACGUUUGAAACGAGAAAAGUGGAGUUGGUAGGGUUUUUUUUUUAUUAUUUAAAAAAAAAGUAAGAGAAAAAUAUUUGUUUGAAAUAUUUAUUAAAAAUUAAAGUUUUAAUUUAAAUCUAAUAUAGUUUAAUAUAAUAAUAAUAUUAAUAAAAUUAUUUCAUUAAUUUUAAAAAAAUUAAAUUUAGACUUUAAUCUCUUAUGUUAAGUUGCUUUCAAAAAAAAAAAAAAAAUCUCUUAUGUUAAGUAUUAUCGACUUCCAUUAACCAAAAUUUGUAUUAGAAAAUUGAUAGACUUUAAUUUUAUUCAAUUUAAUGUAUUUCUCUUAUUUUUUAAUAAAAAGUAUAAUACCUUCAAUUAAAUGUAUUUUUUUCUUUUUUCCUCUAUAAAAACUAAAAACUGUUAUUUUUUUAAAAAAUAAAACAAAUAAAAACUGUAUUCCAUUCUAAAUAAAAUAAAAUUGUAUUUCCAGAUUCUAUUCGUAAGUUUUUUUUGAUCUCGUACCCAUUUGGAUCUAGUCAAAACCCACGAAAACAAAUCAGAUCUAGAGCUCGGAACGUCCUUAGGCAGAUCUGCCCCGCAGUCUAGAAUUGGAUCCUGAUAUAUAUGGCAGGCCGAGUCGCCUGUGAAUCCAAAAUCAGUAAGAAAAAAGCUGGUCCGAUGAUAGGACGGGGUGAGAAAGAAACAGGCUAGUUCUUUCGCAACCCUUUUCGCAUACAUAUUAGGGAGAAUUAAAUGGCCGUCUGAAAUAGAUAAAAUGAUUGACGCUACUAUAUGUACAGAUCUACUCGACAAAAACGAAUAUUACUGUAACAGAAAAAUUAUUAGGUGUCACUGACAAGUAAAAAGAAAAGAAUAAAAGAAAAGGGAGACCCUUCUCAUAAAAGAGCUUACACAUAUAUUGUAGAUCCUAUUUUCUACAUUUUGAUAUCAUAUUCCAAUAAUAAAAAUAUGAAAAAAAAGUAAAUAAUCUAAAAAGUUUAAUUUUUAGAUUUGAUUUUUAUCAAUUUAUAUUCAUUAAAUUCUGAAACAAUGGUAAAAAAAUAAUUAAAAUUGAAAUAUGUAUUUAUGUUUAUAUAAUUGAACACAUGCCAAUCAUUUAAAAUUUUGAAAAACUUUAUUAGAAUAGAAAAUAUUACUCCUUUCUUACUAUAAUUUUUUUCAUAUUUUAUUUUUUAAUUAUUUUAAAAUUAUUAUCUAUACAUAUAAAUCAACUAUUAUAAUUCUAUUUUAUUUUAUAUUGUUUUCAAUAUAAUCUCUUAUUAAUUAUUAUUUUUUUAAAAUAAUUAAAAUAACUUUUAAUAAAUUUAAUAUUUUUUAAAAUAUAAAUAUUUAAAAAUUAAUAAAAAAUAUUUUUUAAUAUAUAUAAAAAAAUAAAUUAAUAAAAAUUAUGCAACUGAGAAAAUAUAGUAUAAUUUUAUAGGGAUAGAUAUCUCUCCUCGCUAUCCUUCUCGAAAAUAUUGGCUUUUAAUUUUAACUCAGACCGCAUUCAAUUUAGUCGAUUUGUUUUUUGUUUUUUUUUUUUCUAAAAUAAUAAUUUUAAUUAAAAAAAAUUUAACAUCAUCAAUGAUGGUAUAAGAACAUAUUUAAAUUAUUUUAUUUCAAAAUGAAAUGAAAAUAUAUUAAAUUAAAAAAAAUAAUUUUUUAAAUUUAAUAAAACUUAUUAAUUUGUUCAUUAAUUUUGAAAAAAAUUCAUUAAAAAAUUAUUAAAAUAUUAAAAAAUUUAUUAAUCAAUCAUUUAUUAAUUUUAAAUAUUAAGUAUUUUUUUAUAGUAUGAAUAAAAUUUAUUAAUUUUAUAAAAAUUAAAUUAAUUAAUUUUUUAUUUUAAAUUUUUUUAAUAUUUAAUAAUUAAAAUUAACCGAUAAAUUAAUUAAUAAAUUUUUUAAUAUUUUAAGAGAAUAAUUAGUUUGUACAUAAUAAUUCUCCCAUAAAUUAAUUAGUCUGUACAUAAUAUGACUCCUACAAUUGGCUAUCUCUCUUUGUUAAUUUUAGCAUAUCUAGAUCUUAUAAAUGACACUUGAUCAACUUCUAAUAAUAAUAAAAUCUCGAUGCGGGUCUGUGGACUGUGAUGGUUUGUCAUGGAAACAUAUAGUUUCUUUCCCCUCUUGAACUUUCUAUAAAUAAUGCACCUCAAUUAUUUGAAAAAUCAGCUAAUUUUUGUGUUGAUUGAAUUACAUAUUCAACAGAUUUGACAACUCCAUACACAAAAACUGAAGCUUAUAAAUAGUUUUUUAGUUUUUUAUUGAAUUAAAAUAUUUAUAUUUAAUAAUUAAAAAAAUAAUUUAUAAAAAAUAAUAUUUUCACAUUUAAUUCAUCUAAAUAAAAGUGAAUAUUUAUUUUUAUCAAAUCAAAUCAAAUAAAUUAAAAAAUAAAAUUUUAAUAUUUAUAAAAUUUAAAUCAAAUUAAUUUUAGAUAAAAAUCAAUUUAAAUUAAAUUGAUUUGAUUCAAUUUCAUUUGAAUUAAUUUAAUUAAUUGAGUUUUUAAUAAUUUUUUAAAACUAUUUCAAUUUUAAUCAUAAUAUAAUCUUUUUAUAUUAUCAAAAAUAAUAUAUUAUUACCCACUGGAUAACUUCAAUUGUUUUUUUUUGGUGAGAAAUAUUAAUAUAUGCCGAGUAUAUAUUAUUGAAGAUGCUGCUUCCUAAAUCUAUCACCAUCGGUCUCUGAGCCGAUCACCUCUUCCGGCCCGUUUUAAUACCAACACGCUACUCGUUGCGGGCCGUUAUGAUUCUGAUGGUAAGCUUCUAGCCUUUUUUUUAUUUACUAAAAUCUAUUUUCUGAUAAAAUUAAAAUUAAAAAAAAAAAAAACUCUUAUAUUUCAUGACAUACACAUUGCGUUACUAUGACGCUUGUCGCAGAGGAAUAAUAAUAAUGGUAAUAAAUACAAACUACUUCUCAACUAUCCAGAUUUCAGGGCAAAUUAUGCAAAUUCUGUCUCCAAUCAGUCAAUCGGACCAUUAAUUAGAUUGAGCAUAAUCACACUUAUUAAUUAAAAAAUUAUCGAAACCAGAGCUGAAAUGGAAGAAGACAAAGCUACAUAUCUUAUCAAACAGCUAAUAAUAUAUAAUUUAGCUGAAGAUUAAGUGCAUGAUUAGUAUCUUAAUCAUUGAAUUUUAACACUGUGAUAGUCAACAAAUUGAAAAUUUUUAAAAAGUCAACUAUUCAACAAGUGAGAUGAGACAAAAAUGAAAAUGCACAAUCUGAGAUUCUGAAUGAUUGUGUAGGCCACAAAAUUAAUCUCAAAUUAAAUUAAGUUAAACACCCAUAAUUAUCAACCUACACUAGGGUUAAUAAUCACACCCCUUUACCUAUUUCAAUACUUGUUUUCUUCUUACAUUUUUUUCUUAUUGAUUUAUUUAUAUACAUUUUUAAUUUAUUAAAUUUAAAAGAGAUUCAAAUUUUGUAUAGAUAUUAUCAUUAUUAAUUCAUCAUAUUUCUAUAUUUUUUAAAAUUUUUUAAAAUAUUUUUAUUUUUUAUCUUCAUUAAUAAAAUAAUUUUUUUAUUUAUUUUUAUGAUUAAAAAUAUAAUAAAAAAUUAAAUUACUCUCUUUUUCUUUUUCUUAUUUUUUUUAUUUUUCUUUUUCUUCAUCGAUUCUUCAUCUUUUCCUUUGAUUUUUCUUAUUUUUUCUUCAUUAAUUUUUUUUUUCAUUUUUCUUCAUUAGAAAAGAGGAGAAAGUAAUUUUAUGGUUAUCAUUUUCUUCUUUUCUUUCUUUGUUUUUUUCUUCUCCUUCAUUAUUAUUAUUUUCUUCCUAUUUUCUUCUUCUUUUAAGAAAGAGAAAGAGAUUCUUCUCCUUCUUUAUUAUCAUGUUCUUCUUCUCCCUCCUCCUUUUUUUUCUUCAUCAUCAUCCUCUACUUUUUCUUUUUUUUUUAAAAAGAAAAGAAAAACUAUUUUAUUGACGAAAAAAAAAUAUUUUAAUACAUAUGAGAAAAGAUAAGAAUAUUUUAAUAGAUUUAUAACUUAUUAAUAAUAACAAUAUUUAAGAACUAAAUAAAGAGUUUUAUUUGAAAGAAAAUUUGAAUUUUAAAAUUUUUUUUUCAUACUUUAUAUAUUUUUAACAAAAAAAAAAUAAAAAAAUUAUUUUGAUGACGGAAAAAACAAUAUAAAAACGUUUUAAUAGAUUUUUAAAAAUGUAGAGUCCGACUUGUUAAUAAUGAUAAUAUUUAGAAAUUAAAUAAUAAAUUUCUUAAAAUUUAAUUAAAUUUUAUUCAUAUCGAAUAGAUUCAUUAAAAAAUAAUGUAUUUUUAAUAAAUAUUAAUUAUUUAAUUCAUGAAAAUUAAACUAAGAAAAGUGUUGAGCAUUCAUUCAACGCUAGUUAAUUUUUUUUAAUAGUGAUCGUGUUACUUUUUUAAAAAAAUAUAUAAUUUUUUCUGAGUGGUGAUGUCAAGUAUAUUUUGUAAAUUGACAUGUCUAAAAUAAAUAUAAUUUUAUAUGCUUAGAUCCUUAGUUAUAUCCUUAUCAGUGGUCUGAGUAGAGUGGAAUGCCAGGUCAAUGGGCCGCAUCUCGCAAAUUCUUAGGCACAUAUGUACAAAUCCAGCUACCAUAAAGUGAGAAGACGUGGGUGCUCCAUAAUAAUAAUUAAUAUUUUUUUUUUUGAGUGAUUCAUAAAAAUAUUUAUCAGUAUUAUAUUAUUAAUAAGUGGAUCUUUACAUUUUAAAAACUCAUUUAAACAUCAUUAAAUUUUUUUAUUCUCAUCCAAUCAGAAAAUAAAAAUAUUAUUUUUUAAGUAUAUUUUAUAAAUUUCCUAUAAAUUAAAUUUUAAAUAUGAAAUAAAUAACUAUCUAAAACCAACACACUGAGUAUACGUAAUGAUUGUGCAUUUUUUUUCUCACAAGAUGGUUUGAAGCAGUUUUGCCAAAUGCUUUAUGUGGUUAAAAUUUCAAAAUAGUCCUCAUACAAGCUAGGGCUGUAAAAUUUGAUGGUAAAUGAAAUGGACCAAUAUCAUAUAUGAUUAAGACAAAAUAUUUUCAAGGGGGGCCUAGAGAUCAAGAAGCACAAAAGGGGAAUUUUUAAAUUCCUAAACUUCUUUCUAUUUAAUUAAUUGCCCCAUUGUGGGUUUUGAUUUUAUAAUUUGACCCUCAAAUUGCUGGGAUUAGGUACAAAUGGCCAUUGCUUUCUAAUAGGCCACUCAAGAUUUCCAAAAUCCUUGUGAAGAGAACAUGGGAUGAUGGAUGUCUACUCAUUAUGCUUUCAUUCUCAUUAGCCUUUGGACCCAAUAGAAAUUUCAUCACCUCAUAAAUAAAAUCUUAAAGUGAUACUGUUCUCACAUCUAAUAUUAGCCAUUGAAUCAUCUUAGCACUUAUUUACUUUCAAUUUUAUCAACCAUAUGUGAUACAAAAUAAAUGUUGAUUAAAACGGCUGUUGAUAGUGAAAUGUUGUCUAGCUUUUAGUUUAUUCCUUUACAUUGAAGUCCAAUCAUAAAUACCUAUAAUCGAUUGCGGAAAAUUUUUCACUGUUGCUAUGUCUGGAUCAUGUCUCAGUCCCAAUGGUAUAUAUAUAUAUAACGAAAUUAUUUAAAAUAUCAAAGGAAAAUAAAAAGGAGAGUGAUGAGAAAGAGACUCGAGCCGACUUUCCUGAAUAUGAUUGUUUGGUGUUUACUCUUAAUUGAAAAAUGAUUUAUUUUGUUUUGUUUUUUCGAAUAGUUUUUUAGCGUUAAUUUGAUUAAACUUGUAUGAAAAGAAAUUUUAUCUGUCUAUUAUUUAGAUGUGGUCUUAGAUUGGUGCUCAGCAAAGAUUGGAGCAAUUGUUUAGUGGCUGGAGUUUCAAAGAGUUAGUAGCCAUGUGUUCAAUAGUUUAGCUUCGCUUAAAGUUAUAGAAGAUUGAGAUAUCAAUAAGCGUCUCUAUAGUAUUAUGUAUAUAUGCCUCAACUAAAAAGCUUGACUUGCAUACCAUCAAUUUGACUAUUUCUAGAUUUUUUGGCAUGUGUCCUUCAUCGUCUUAGUAUUUAGUUGAUCUGCGCUCAUAAUCAUCUAAUUUGAAGUUGAUGUGGAUGAUAAGAAUGGAAAUCAAUGGUGUUGCAAUAAUUGAUAGAGUUAGUAAUCUCGGAAGACAGACAAAGAGUAUAAUUUUUCGUAGAUUCAUUAUUAGGAGACCUUAAAUUUGAACCGGAUGGUAAAAGGUUUUAAAUAUUGUCUAUUUUGUAUAUUUUUAAAAUUUUUCUGAGCUCACAUUUAAUAAAUUACCUUGUACCUUUGUUAAAAUGCAUCUUAGAUGUAUUGUUUUAAAAACUGAAUCCAAGUACUACUCAAAUAAAUAAACCCUUUGGUUAAUUUUAAUGAUUUUCCAUGCAUUGAAUUGUUAUAAUUAUGUCAAGAUCAAUAAAAUUUUAUUUUUUUUCAAAAAAACCUUAUUUAUUAUAAACUAAAAUAUAAAUAUUUAAAAUUUAUAUGUAAAAUAAGUGAGUGGUAUCAUAUACUUUAUGUCUUCGUUUAUAAAAAAAAAAAAAAAUUAUUAGAAAUCUAAGGAUGCCGUACACGUAAUAUACCUGAGAAAAGAAUCCUUAUUUAUAUACCUUAUAAAAGAGAACCCUCAUAGACUUAACCUCACAUAUCCUAUUGACCCAAAACUUUAAGGCUAGAUUUUUUUUUUCCUUUUCGAAGACUUUAAGGCUAUGUAUAUAUAUAUAUAUAUAUUUGCAAAAAUUUCAUUUAAUAAUUUAAUAGGAAUUAUUUUCAUGGAAUCCAUGGAGAGUUAAAACCCAAAAUAAAUAGAACAGAAAAACAAAAAUGCAGAUCUUAAUAAGGAGUUAAGGACACGAGAAGCAUCUGUGAUAAAGUUGAUAAUGCACAGGAAGUGGACUGCGAAAGAGACAAGGAGUCCACUUGAGAGAAGUGGGUCGGUAAAAACGACAACGUGAGCAAUCAGGAAUCAGAAAACGAAUCUCUAACCAACGAGCAGAUGUACCUGCACUCUUGCAAAAUUUUCACACGCCAACCACUAGUUUAACGGCCUUUGGCGAUUGAUGGAGCAAAAUCAACCCCAUUUCUCCCCUCUUUUUCAUUUUAUUUUUUUUUAUGACGUAAUCCUUUUCUUUCUUUUAUUUCAGGUGAAAAAUGGGAUAUAAUUUUCUAUGGAGGUUCAAUUAGCUUUUCUCAAACUCAAUGCCAAACACCUACUCAAACCUAAGUUGUUAGGGGUAUUCUGUUUUCUUUCCUUUAUUUUGGCAUAGCAUAAUUUAUCACUGCAAAAAAAGUACAAUACGUUACCGUAUUGAAUAAGUUUCAUUGUUCUCAGAUUCGCCCUGUUUUUGUUCGGUCAACAUCACUAUGGAAGUGUCCCACUUUAUUUUUACAUCCAUUUCUUCCGCUUUUCUUUAUUUUCUUUCAUAGUUUAGUGAAAAAUAAGUGAUAAUAUUUUCUUUUAUUUUUAGGUAAAAACAUAUUAAUCGAAUUUAAAAUGAAUUCAAAUUUAAAAAAUAAUAUUUGCUACAAAUUUAAAUUAAAUUUAAAUUUUAUAUAUAAAAUAUCCAUUAUUCGAAUUUAUUUAUAUAAAUAAUUAAUUUAAUAUAAAAAAUAUAUUUUACAAUAAUAUUAAUAAAUUUUUUUAUAUAUUUUUAUUUAAAAAUUAAAAAUUAAAUAUUUUUUAUAUAAAUUAUUAAUUAAAAUUUUAUUAAACAAAUUUAAAUUUUAUUUAAAUAAUAAUAAUUAAAUUUGAGAUGAAUUCAAAUAAUUUAAAUUAAUAUUUAAUAAAAUUCUGAAUGAAUUCGAACAUUAAUAUAAUAGAAUUUGAGUAAUUUAAUUUUUACAAAUAUUCUAACCAUUUGCAUAAUUUUAACUUUUUCUAUCAUUUUGAAUGUAAAUAUUCUCAACUACUCCUCGUCCCUCUCUGGUAAAAAAAACUUUUCAAAAUUUACAAAUGUCACAGAGCAUGAGACAGCUACACCUCAUAUUUAGAUUAGGACACAAUAACAAGAUCCGAGUUAUGUGUCGCGCAGCCGGUCAGAAUAUGGUAAUGAUAAAACAAGUGUACGAUUUUGGCCAUAUGUCAUGGCAAACAUGAGCCUUUGCCAGAAGCUUGCCAGGUUUUUAAUCUUAACUUGUCCAAAUCUGUGUUCGGUGGUUCAGAUAUUUAUCUGAUAUUAAUAUUUUUUCCCUUCAAAUUUCCUUUAUUGAUUUUCACAACAAUUUGCAAAGAAAAAAAAUAUAGCUCACGGUUCAAAAUCUUAAAUCACAUGCCGCAAGAAGAAGGUUCCCAGAAAAGCUCAAUAGCUUUAUGACCCCUAUUUAAAGACAAAGGAGAUGAAAUAUCAUAAUCAUAGCCACAGGCCAGCAUCUUGGGAUCUUAAAUGUAUGUAUCACCUUGGUUUCGAUUGCUGUGCUAGGAGAGUUUUUCUAGUAUAAUUAGCUUUUGUUUUUUUUAAAUUUAUAAUAUAAUAUUUAAAAUUUAAUAAAAUUUACUAUCCUUUUAAUUAGAAAUAAUUUAAUUAUUAAUAUUUUAUUUUAUUUUAUUUUAUUAACAAUGUGAAUACCUAAAUUCUUAGUAUUUAUGUGGGAAAUGAAUAGACGAUGGUGGUACAGCGCAGCUCUCCGAUCUGAGUCAUGGCUCAAUAUUAUAAUUUACAAAAGAGUAUCAAGUAAUGCAUAGUGGGGGCUGCUGAGACUGAAGCAGACCUUCCACAGUUAAUUGGAGAGAAAGAGAGAGGGUGGUGAUAUUUAGUAAUAUUUUUUAUAAGAAGAUAGGGUGAUUAUGCAAUAGGCUAAUUAUUUGAAAUUUUUCAAAUUUAUUAAUAUAUUUAUUUUUAAAUUAAAUCUAAAUAUAAUUAUUUAUAUUCUUUUAAAUGCAUACCUACUAUAUUUUUAUAUUUUAAUAAGGAUGAAAAUUAACGUAUUUCAUAACGAAUCGAUUAAAAUUAAUUUAAAUAAUUUUUAAAUUUAUUUUUUAUUUAAUUAUUUUUACGAUAUAAAAAAUAAUUUAGUUCUAGUUAAAUAAUUAUUUCAGGAAGAUUAUAUACUUCUAUAAUAUAUUUCUUCCAUUUUAUAUUUAAGCUGUUUUCUCUUUUUAGAACAUAAAUUUAUUUAUUACUACCUUUGUCCUUUUUGUUUUAGAAAUUCUUUUUCCUACUUUAUUUGUCAUUUUAGAAAAUUUAUGAAGCAUUAGUUAUUUUAUUUUUUUAAGUUUUAUUUUAUUUCCUAUCUCUUACUUAAUAAUUGAUAUCUAUAUCCUAUAAAUUUAAAGUGAAAUGAUAUUACAAGGGUAUUUUAGUAAAUUACUUGUGUUAUUUUAUAAAAACGAAAUUAUUAAAUCAUUUCCUUAAAUUUUUAUGAAAAACCUUACAGGGAUAGAGAAAGUAUAUGUAAUUCAUUAAUUUUAGAAAUAAUUUAAUCAAAUGAGUUAUUUAAUUUUUAAUAAAAAAUAUGAGUAGAGAGUAUAUUAAAAAAGACAAAAUAAAUAAAUUCAUUUUAAUUAUGUUAAUUUUUUUUAUGUCUAUAUACCAAACAAUUCAUAGUAUUUCAUGCUUUUUUACAAAAUAUAUGAAAAUAAAAUUUAAAAAUAUUUUUUUGCUUUUAUUUUAAUAGCCGUUCACUAAUUAUUACUUUUCAAUCUAAUCAAACACUACAAUUUUCUUUCUAGAUUUAGCGAGAAGAAAUGGAAAAAGCAAGCUAACCAACGGGGAUUCAAUUUCAAAUACAAAAUAAUAAUGUCUUAAUUAUGAAUAUUUAAUAUUUCACCUAAUAUUGGUCACCAAUAAUGAGAAAUAAAAUAUUUUUAUUUUAUUUUUUUAAAAAAUAAAUAUGUUUUUAACCCAAAAUUUACACACAUUUAUGAAUUUUUUUUUAAAAAAAUUAUCAUACAAUGAUUUGAUAAAGAGAAUGAGAUGUCCUUUUUUUUUUUUUAUUUUCGUAAAAUACUCAUCAUCCUUGAGAAUAUAUGAAUGAUUGUGACGAUUUUAACCCAAAAUUUACUUCCUUUACUAUUAAUUUUGCCAAGACAAUUAUAUAUCUCAUUGAAUAAAACUACUAAUGAAAAGAUGUAAAUUACAUUGCUUUGAUUUAUUAUAAUUAAAAAAUAGAAUCAAUCAUGCUCAAUUUGAUAUUAUAUCACCACUUUGACUCAUUUUCUUUAUAUUAUAUUUUUUAAAAUAAUGCUCUUAAUUUAGAUAAAUAUAAUGGAUUCUUUGACGGUAAAUUUUUUUAUUUUUUAAAUAAAUCAUGAAAAUGUAGAUAAAAUAUUCUACUUUAUUUAGAAAAAAGAGUGUUUAACCAUUUAUUUCAAUGCACAUCGAUAAUAUAUAUGUUUAGGAAUUUAAUUAAUUUGGUUGUAGUAAUGGAGUGGUCCUAUUGAUAGUGGUGAGUUGUGAGGAGCUGUUUAGGGCAACUGGGUAGCUAAAUGCAAAUAUGAAAAUGCAAACCCACAAGACUCAUAUAUGGUCCCACACCCAACUAAGCCUUUCAUUUCCUGCCUCUAUCCCCACACCCCCCACAUCUUUUAAAUUAACGCACCUCUUUGCUGCUUUUGUAGUAUAUAUGAGUGGUCUCUGAUUUCACAAUAUUUGCAGACCCAUUUCGCCAUUUCAGGACCUCACCUUCUCCCUCUGUCUAUGUCCCUCUCCGCCUAGCUAGAUAGCUUUUCAGAUUUGUUGUUGAGAAGAGGGCGUGUGGGCAAGAUGGAGAAGCAGGGCACGUGCAUUUCUAACUCAUGCACACACUCAGUCCACAUUUUCUUGGUUGCAGUCGCCUGGUUGAAGAUCUUUUUGCUUAGCUUCAGUGACUGUGAGUUAGUUCUUCAUGUGCCCAUCUUCCCCAUCAUGACCACUACUCCUGGCUACAAUAUUUAUCAUUCAAAGACGACGAUAUGUUUCUACCCAUUUGGCUUUCUUGUCAAGAUCUCAUCCAAUUCGGUGAAAAAAGCUCCAUUUCAGGUCAGUCAUGCAUUAAUCUCCAAAACCCACUUCUCAGAAACCUUCUGUCUGAUAAAUGUUUGUCUUUUUUUCUGUGAGAGUGCACAUGGUUUAAUUAUUAAUUAGUGCCUAAAUUUUCCAUGGUCAAAGGAGUAAAUUAGUUAAUACUAACAUAUUAUACCGUCUGAAUUCUAUAAUACAAACACGAAAGCAUAGCAUAGCUAUCAAGAACAAGGAUUAUACUAUUGGGAUAAAGAUCAAGAAAUUAAGGCUGUCUAUGCCGUAUGUAUGUUGCAAACCAAUGAAUGUUAAGUUUCAACUAUAUAUUAUGAUGGAGCUACGAGGAUAAAGAUAAGAUUUUGACUGAAUUAUUAGUUAGCUAGUUAGCUUAGUGUCAUUAUCAGAGAACUUGUGUUUCCAUGACUGAUGAGAGUUGUGUAUAUUGGCAGCUGCAAAAUUCUUACCCCUCUCUCUCUCUCUCUCUCUCUCUCUCUCUCUCUCUCUCUCUCUCUCUCUCUCUCUGGCUUAUAAUAUAAGAGUUUUGACGCAUUAGAAACUAAAUAAAAUGCCAAAUCUAUGACCUAAUUGGAAUGGCAUAUUCUCUGAGUUAAGUGGGACAAGAACUCGGAAAUUUCAUAAUAUUUAAUUAAGAAAAUGAGGUGUUAUGUCUAUCUGUCUGAUUUUAUAUAUUGAUAAUAAUAAAAGCUGUUAAUUGCCUGAAUAAUUCUUUAUUUAACAAGUGUUCGACAGCCUAUAAAGUACAUAUCUUUAAUGCUCACUUAUAUUGCUUUGGCAAAAAAUUUGAAGAUAAACAAGCCUAAUCAAUAACACAGCCAACCAAGCCUUGUCUUGAAUUCUAGCUGGCUAGCUAGGCAGGGCAGACACGCAUUCAAGGUUCAAACAACCAUCAAGAUCUCAAGACAAUUAUCGGUGUUGUAAUUAAUUAGCUCUUUGGUACUUGGGAUUCUUUUUUAGGAAAAUAAAGCUAUUAAAUUUUAAUAAUUUAAUAAAUUAACUAUUGUAUUAAAUUAUGAGUUUGAUUAUGAACUAGUCGCUAUUAGAAGUGUUUUAUCUGAAUACUACAUUUGACUCGAAUGUAGAUUAGUGCCAUACGCAUAAGCAAAAUUGGGACACUAGAUGUAUGGUGCAAACCAAAGUUCUAAUCCAAGAUUUUUCUACAUUACCAAAUAGGCAUCACUUAAUCAUGGGGCAAGUUGCCCAAAUGGCCACAAAUGGAUAUUGUUCUCUCCACUGAAACUGAAAGUGGAAGAACAAGAAAAAGGGUAUGAAAUUCUCAUUUAUCUUUAUUGAUUUCCAAUUAAAUUUGGGAGUUGCUCUCAUUGAUUGCCAAUAAUAUCUUAUUGUGAGUUGAGUGAAGAAAGAAGUAUAGGUAACAAACUGUGUGUGGUAUGAUUUUUCUAGGUGGAAAAAAAAAAAACAAGAAAAGAAAGAAUUGAUGGCAUAUUAUCAAGAAUAGGGGCAUUUGGUACCACCACCAAGGAGACAAUACAAGACAACAACCAUAUGUCUCCAUUCCAUCCUUCUCGCCCUUUCACUUCAUCCACGUCUGAUUGACAAUGAAAACCCAUUCUCAAUAUCUUUUCUUCUAACCCAAUACAUAUACAUUACAGCCAACCUUUUUUCCUUUUGAUAAGCGAAUUACAUCCGCUUGAAAUAAAAUAAUUUCACAAAAAUUUAGUUUCUAUUUGAAAUAAAAAAUUUAAUUUUUUUACUUUAAAAAUUUUCAUUCUAUAAUUUAGUAAGAAUCAUUUGAAUUCUUUUAUUAUAAAAUUAUUCAUAUUAAACGAAGGGUUUAAAAUUUAAAUAACAGUAUUUUAGCAGCGAUAGUGACAGUGUUGAGACAAUACUUUAAUAACAAUUUAAAAUUAUUAAAAAAAAUUAUUAUAUAUAAAAUAUAUUUUAAUAAAUAAAUAAUUAUAUUUAAUAAUAUUAUAAUUUUAAUCAUACUUUUAUGAAAAAUUAUAUAAAUUAUUGUAUUACUACAUACACAUAUAUUACUUUAUAAUUAUUGGUUUAAAUAUAUAAGAUUACACAUGUUUUAUAAUAGUAAUUAUGCAAUUGUUUCUUUCUUAUUCAUUAUGGGGGACAUGGUUUGUUUCUAUCAAUAAUUAAGUUGGAAAACGUUUGAUUUUUUUUUUUCCUUUUUCGUCUUUGAAAUUCCAAAUUGCAUGUAGUUUUCCAUCAAAUACUUUGGAUUGGUACUGCAAAUUUUGGGCACACGAUCCGGAUGUAUGUGAUAUGAGAAUCUGAAAUGAAUAAAAUGUACUUGAGUUGGUCUAUGCAGAAAAAAAAUAUUAUGAUAUGAUUUUUUAUAGAUGACUUCAAAUAUAUGUUUUUUAGAAUAAAAAUAAAAUUUAUUUUUAUUGUCCUUAAUAAUAGAGUCCAAUGAAUUGGAUUUAUUAAAACCUUCACUGCAUACUUUUAUUUGUGUUAAUGAUGUGCAUAUCUAUAUAUUUAUAAAGCGAGGAAGCAGUUUGACACUCCCAUCUCUUUAAGUGAGUUUACUAUAUUAAUAAUUUCUUUAGGCUCAAUAUAAUCAGUAUAAUAUCUUUAAUUAUAUAAAAAAAACUUUAUUAUCGGUGAUGACCGUCAGACUUUUUACCCGUGGAAUGAGGUCGGACCCUAAAAAAAUAUAGUUCCAAAGCCCAUCAAGCCAUUCUCAAGCAGAUCGAUCCAAUAUCGCAAGACCUAGUCCGAAUACGCGAGGCAGGUCAGAUCAGCCAUGAGUGCAGGUCCAACAGAAAAUAGUCUAGCCCGGUGAUAUAACGCGAGGAAGAAUAGCUGGUGCAGUCGCUUCGCAACCCUAUCAAUAUACGUGCCGGGAGAAAUUAAAUGGUCGUCUGGUAUGAAGGGGUGCUCUUACUCGUCCGUAUGUAUAGUCUGUAUGAUAGAGACAUACACUGUAACAAAAAGAUAAUUAUAUGUUAAAGAAAAAGGAAAAAGAAAAAGAAAAUAUCAUAAAAUUUUAUUUUCUGAAUUUCAAAAUAUCACAUAGUUUAAGCAAUAUGCUGCAUAUGAACUUCUUUAAAGUGACCAAAUAAGAGUCACAUGCAUUGCAUAGCAUAGUUGGUUUUCUAUCGAGUCUCGAAUUCAAUUAUUCUCAUUUACUAAUUUUUAGAUAUUCAUAAUGAUGGUGAGGGGAAAUUAGUAACUGAUAAUCAAUAUUAACUGAUAUUUUAAGUAUUUAAUAAAAUAUAUAUAGGUAUUAUUGUUUAUAUAUUAAAUGAUAAAUAAGGAUAAUAUAUAUUAUAUUAUUUAUUUAUUAUUAAAAUAUACAUAUAAUUAUAUUGAUAAAAUGUUUUUUUUAUAUAAUAAAAAAUAUAUAUACACAAAAAGAAUGUUUUGAGAAAAAAAAUCCAAAAAGAAUGAGCAUCAAUAUCAAAUUUUUUUUCAUUGUAUGUUUUUAAGUUAUAAGUUAAAUUUAUUUGAUAUAGACAUUUUUAUUAAGUCACAUUUUAUUUAUCCAAAAUUAAUAAAAUAUGCUAUUUAUGAUAAAAAUAAAUAAUGACUACUGCUUGAUAAAAAUACAAUUUAUACAUUUUUCAUAAUUAUUAAUUAAUUUUAAACAGAUUUUUUUUCCUUUCUUUUUUUACUAUGCAGUUGUAUCUUUAUCAAAGUUUUAUUGAACAGAUAGACUACAUCACUGGUUUUUUUUUCUUUUUUUUUUUUUAAAAAAAAAGGCAAAAAGUCAAAUUAGAGAUGACCCCAUGACUUCAGCUUGUAGGAAUUAUUUCAAAAUUAUGUCUGUCUGAGUUUCCAGCUGUUCUAUAGUUACGUAUUUGAUCUUCUUACGAUUAUGUAUUGUACGAUGUGCGUGCGAAUGAUUAAUAAUAUACGUACGUGCAUUUUUCAAGUCUAAAUAAUUGAAAUUUAUUGUAGGCAGUUUUAUUAUUUGAAACUCUUUUAAUUAAAUAUAUAAAAUAUAUUUUUUAAAAUUAUUUAUAUUAACCUUUUCCAAGUAAUGCUUAUGAAAUAAAACUUUGUCUAAUUAAGAAAUAAAAUAUAUAAAUUUUAUAAAAGAAAAUUUAAGAAUACAAUGUUUAUUAUAAUUAGUUUUGAAAAGUAAUAACGAUAAUUUUCUUUUAUUUAUCAUAUAAAUUGAUGGGCGCAAAUUCAUCAAUUAAAAUUAAAAAAAUUUACAAAUAAAAUAAAUGAUCGUUGAGUUUAAAAAAUCUUAAAAUUUUUUAAAUUAAAUAAUAAAUAAAAUAAAAAGAACAGUUUAAAAUAUAAAAAAAUUAUUAUUUAAAAAAUUAAUUUUAAGAAAAAUUUUAAAAAAAUAAUAUAAUAUAAUUAAAAUUAUAAAACAAAUAAUUAAUAAAGAAAACUCAAUGGAAGGCAAUUAAAAUUGAGUGGUUUAUAUUUCUUAUUCAUUAAAAAGAUAAUUUAUUUUAUUAUUCAUUAUUUGAUUAUAGUGUUUAAAUAAGUGAAUUUUUUCAAUUUUUUUAUAAUUAAAUUAAUUCGCAUGCUUAAAUUAAUUUUUAAUUGAUUAAUAAGAUUUAAUUAAUUAGAGAAAAAAUUUAAAUUUGAUAAAUAAAGAAUAAAUUAUUUAAAUGAAAUCAAUUAAUUACUUAAUAUAAAAAAAUAUGUUAAUUAUUAAUUGUAUUAAUCCAAUUAAAUCAAUUAAUUAUUUAACCUAAACAAAUAUGAUAAUUCUACUUAUAUUAACCCAAUUAAAUAAUUACAUAUUUACUUAUAUUAAUUAGUAAUAUAUUACUUUAAAAAAAAUAACGAAGGUGGUAUUUCUCAACAAUUGAAAUUAAUUGAAAAUCAAAAUAAGAAUUUAAAAAUAUAAUCUCCCAACUUUAAAUAAGUUUUUGUUUGAUUCACAUUCAAUAAAAAAGUUUAACAUCUAAGAAUCAUAAUAAAAUUACAGAAAAAUAAAAAAGAAGAGAGGAAGAAUUCAGCCAAGAGAAACCAAAAAAGAGAGAAGAGGUGAUAAGAAAGAUGCCUAGAGAGAUGAUUUUUUACUUCUAGGGCAGAUAAUUAUUUAUAAUUUAAAAAAAAAUAAAUCUAUUACUUUUAUGAUAAUUCUUAUUAUAAUUCUAAUUUGAUUGUAAUUUUGUACGAUUGUUAAUUAUCGAAAAUCUGAAAUUUAUUCAUCGGUCUGGACUACGAUUUUGAGCAAAACUGUACUUUUGAAUAAAAAAAAAAUUUUAAAACAGCCCUUUUAGUUUUUUUUUCUUCUAUUUUUAGUUUAAAAUCUGUUCAAAAAUUAAAAUUUAAAUAAAAGUCAAUUGUUUAAGUCAAGAUCAUAACAAAAUUAUGAAAUUUAAAAGGAGUAAUAACUAGAUUAAUGGCACAGUUGUUGGUUAAAGCUCAAGUAUUUAUAACCAUUUAUCAAAAUAUAGUCGUGAAUAUAUCAUUACAUCAGUAAGUCAAUAACAAUUUUAUGUGAAAAAUAUUUAUUUGGAUUCGGUAUAUCAUAAAUCAAUCGAUUUUUAAAAUAUAAGUAAAUGAGUUCAUGGUGACCUGAAUUUAUUUAAAAAUUUUCUGUUUAUAUUAGAUAUUGUUAGUGAAAAAAUCAAUUAUUCUACAUCUAAACAUUCACCCUAUAUUACUAUAUGUUUGUAUGAUCGUUUAAAUUUUAUUUUUAAUAUAUCAAGAAAAGAAAAGAAAAGAAAAGACAUUUGGUGCUAUCUUGUUGUGAUGCUAAUAAUUAGAUUUCAGUUGAGGUCAAAAUCCCAAUUUGGGUGGUGGAGGAGGCCAGUUUUGGUUGGUCGGUGAAACAGAAGAGGGGGCGGUGUCGCCACUCAUAUAUUCAAUUCUUCAUCCAUCUUGGCGUUUGAUGUAAACCCUUUGUUUUGUUUUAUCUCUUUAUUUCCAUUUUAAUAAUUAGUUCAACAAACUUGAGCCUACUUUAAGGAUUGCAAUUUGAUGCCCAUAUUGAUUUUGACAUUUAUGCAUUGCUGCUUCUACUCCUUGGAUGCUUCACUGCCAUAAUGAUGAAAUUUGAAAAAUCUCCAUAAUUUGCUAUUAUCCAUUUGAAAAUUAAUUUAUAUUUAAACUUUAUUCGAGAAAUUUUAAAUUUCUAUAAAAUAUUAAAAUUUUAUUUAUUUAAUUGUCAACAUUUCUUAACUUCUUGAAAAAUCAUAUGACUUUCUUUUCUUAAUACAAGAAAAGUAAAUUAUUUACCAUGAACCAAACAGAAAGCUAAUUUUUAUUUAACUAUUUCUAAAAGUAUUAUUCCUAUUUUAAAUAAGUUAAAAAUAAAUUAUAUUUAAAAUUUUAAACUAACUAUAAAAAUUAUAUACUCUUAUUAUAAUUUCUUACUAAAUUUAAGGAAACUAUAUCAAAUUGAAAUUUAUAAAUUUUUGUAAUUUGAAGUUGAACAGCAAUUGUAAUUCAACAUAUAAGUUGAGAAACGGUAAAUAAAAAUUAAUUACACAUUAACAUGAAAACUAGUGAUGGUAAAAAAAAAAAAAAGAAAUAAAAAGGCAUCGUUAUCGAAUUUAAAAGUUAAUGAAUUUCAAGAAAAGUAAUUAAUUGAAGGCAAAGCAGAGAAGCAACUUAUUAUUUGGUUAAAUUCACUAUCAAAACAGGAUCCAUCUGAAAAAGACUGUGUGACACAAGCUACAACAGUAUAAAAUUCUCCAUUUUAUCCUUUCGAGUGAAUACACAGUAUAAAUUUCUCCCACCAGAUCAAAUUCUUAACCUGCACUCUGCAGCUAUAUUACUUGGACAGGGAUACCAGUCUCAAAAUGGGUGCAUAUCUCUCUGUCUGGCUUAUCAACUUUCUAUUUAACUUUUUAAAUAGAAAAUUCGGAGAUAUAGAUUUAAAUUUAGACAGUCUAAAUAGAUUAUCCAACACAACUAGACACAAUCAUCCAAAAUACAACUAAACUUUUUCUUUUAUCUAAAUCCAUGCUGUUCAUCGUAAGAGAAAAGAAUAUUCUAUUAAUUAUGCAUGAAUAUGUCACUAAGUAUGAGUAUAUAAAUAUGUGCAGAACACAUAUUCCAUGCUGCAUCUCAUGAAGUGUGGCAUAGAUAAGGGUACGACAUGGCAAAAAGGAGAGUCAGAGUAUCAAAGCUCCAGUUUAUGUUAUGCAGCUUGCAACACAGAAUUGAAUUGGAGCUGCCAAAUACUGUAGCUAUUUAAAAUUUGAAGUGCAGGCGUGCACAAAUGAUGCUGUGUCCAGCAUGUAGUACAAUUACAAAGUUGAAAGCACUAAGGAUUUCUAGAGGCAUACCAUGAGAAAGCUUCCUUGACCGAUCGGAUAGGUCGUAAAUACAACAGUAGCUGCCACCAUUUAUCAGAACAAUAUGCAGCCAUUUUACAAUAGCAAUUUAUGCUAUUUAUGCUCCAACUCUUAAGUCAGGUGGAUUUGCAGUUUCAAAUAUUUUCAAGGUUCAAACUUAUCAAGUUAUAUGAGUUUGUUCAGUGUCCACCACACAAGUCAAUGAGGUCUCCAACAUUAACAGUGUAGACAGUCAAGCAAGCACCUUUGCCAUACUCUUUAUGCAAGAAAGAAUAGCUCAUUGAGUCUGUUGCUUAAGGUUCUGGCAAUGUGGAUGAGUUUACUAAGCUGUCCAACAAUCCAACAUCCUCUGCAAAACUAUUAUUGGAUUGACAGCCAAGGAGAAGUGCUUCCCAAGCUCUAACACCUGGAGAAACAUUCUUAUGGAUCAUUUUCUCAAGCAAUUCCAGUGCUUUACAUGUCAAGCCAAUGGGGCACAGUCCACAAAUUAUCUCAUCAAAUGUCGAACUCUGAGGACAUAAACCCUUAUCCAGUUCUUCCUCCAACAAAGCACAAGCUUCAGUAACUUUUCCACUGCUAAUCAAACCAUCAAUCAUAAUCUUGUACGUUUGCAUGCUCAACCCAAAGCCUUUCGAACUCAUCUCCCUCACGAGUAGGUCCCUUGCUUGGCCAAGUUCUCCACUAUUACAUAACGCCUGCAGUAACAUAUUGUAAGUACUCAAAUUUGGUUUGCAUCCCAACUCCUCCAUGCUAACUGCCAUUUUAAUCCCUUCCUCUACUUUGCCUUGCUUGCACAGGCACUCUAUAUAAACAUUGUAUGUAUAAACAUCAGGGACCAAACCAAAGACAAGCAAUUCGUCGAACAGCUCAUCUGCCUUGGAAUAAGAACCACUUGCAAUAACCCCAUUCAGAACCAUAUUAUAGCAAACAAUGUCCGGUUUGAUUCCAUCUGACUUCAUCUCAUACAAGACACCCAAAGCAUCAGCACCCAUUCCUUUUCUCACUAGGAAUCUAAUUACAUUAGUAUAGUCCAAAAUUCCAGGACAAAAUCCCAAUUUCCUCAGUUUUCCCAAAAAUGCAACAACAUCAACCCCCUGUAUAUGAAUAUCUGUCUGUUCACAAAGUGAAGAUAGUAGCAUAAAGCAUAUAUCUGUGUCAAGAUUAAACCCAUCAUUUAUCAUACAAUCAAAUAGCUCAACAGCAUGCCCGACCUUUUUAAUUCUACAAAGGGCAGAAAUCAGCAAGCGAAAGCUCGAUUCGUCAACUCGAAUAUGCAGAGCUCGACUCUUCAACAAAAUUUCAGGAACCAUUUUCAGACCUUCACUGGUUCUACAAAGAACUGAGAGCAAAGUAUUGAGCGAGUAAACAGAAGGGACACACCUAAAUUUGGGUAUUCUAUAGAACAGCUCAACAGCUUUUUGUAUUUCGUUGGCAUUGCCAUAAAUUUCAAUAAGAUGGCUCAAAAUGAAUUCGGGUGUGUCGAAUUUUUCCAUCUUCUCGAGAUGAUCAAGAACUGGGGAAAUUUGGUUGAGUUGGGACGUUUUGCUCAGAGUUUUGAUGAUAAAGUGAUAAGCUUGAGGGGUGGGCUCACAAUCAUAGAUGCUAAAGGAGUGGAUAAGAGAGGAAAGAAGAUAAGGCUUGCUAGUAGUUUGUUGCCGGGGCUGUAGAGAGGAAGUUGGCGCCGUGGCUGCUUCUUUCAGAUUUCGCAAAGCUUCUUGUUGCUUGAAAGUCUGCUGCCAUUUGACAUGGAAGGUCAAGUGUGGCCAUUUCCUGUGUUUCCUCAAGAAAAGCCUACCAGUUUUUAAAGAAGACAUGUUUCAAAGGGUGAGACAAUCGGCAAAUAUAGCCGGAGGCUCCCAGACUAGCUGCCAAACCCCAACUAAAUUCUCUUGGUGUGAUGGGUUCCGUAAGUACAAGGUGCUUGUUAAAAUGCUUCACUCAGAAAUUACACAAUUUGUUUAAUACAAUUGAUUUCUUUUCCAUCAAUUUUCUUAAAAUGAAAUAAUUUAAUUAUUUUUACUUGUUUAAAAAAAAAUCAUACAAAAUUAUUGUAUACAUCCUUUUUUAUUUUUAUAACGUACACUAUUUCAAAAUUAACAAUUUUGAUCUUAUAGUUUGUUAAUGACUUCAUCUUCUAGUCCUUGUUGAAAAAAUUAUGAAUUUUUCCCUUUUGGAUGUACAAAUAAAACUAAAAUUUCUAAUUAAAAGAUUUAAUUAUUAUGUAAUCAACUAUAAAAAAAAAUCACAGGAAUAAGACAGAUCUCAAAAACAAUAAUCCCUUUAAGGUGCAUAUAAAUUAACAUAACAUUUAUUAAAUUUUUUUUAUUAAUUACAGCAGUUCAUAUUAAUUUUUUUAAAAAAAUAAAUAAUUGCAAUUAAAUUUUAGGUUAUAAUUGGAAAAAUUAUGGGUGAAACGGUGAAUUAUCUUAGGCUAGGGAUAUGUAGCUUUGAAAUUGAGAAUUUAGAUUGAGUUUUGGCAUAGAUUAUGAUAAAUUACGAAGAUUAAAUUAUAAUUUAUUUUAAUUUUAAUUUAAAUAAAAUUAUGCAAAAUAAUUUUACUUACAUAAAGUUUUUAUUAGUUAUUUUUUGGUACUCAAUUGGUAUAAUAUAAAAUAAAUUGAUAAUUUGUUUUUUUACUGAAUGAUUGAGAAAAUUUCUCUAUGAAUUGUCAUUAAUUUAAUAUAAUCUAAUAAAUAUUAAUUUUUUUUAACGAAAAAUUGAGAAGUGAAAUAGUAGAAUUUGAAAUCUCUCAGAUUUAUUCAGAUUCACUUAUUAUCGAUCGAAAAUUAAAAAUUGUGAGAGUAGAAUAUAAGAUCUUUUAAAUUUAUUCAGAUAUACUUACCAUCAAUUUAAUUAUUUGAGUGUUAACUAUUAAUUAUUCUAUUGAGGAUUAAUAAAAAAUAUAAAUAUAAGAGGUUAUUUGAUAUAUUUUAAAAAUUUAAAGAUUUAUUUAACUUUUGUAGAAUCUGAAGUGUUUAUAUAUUUCUAAAAUCUAUAAUUAAAAUUUAAAAGAUUUAUUUAAUUUAAUUAAAUAGUUGAAGAAUUUGUUUAGACUUAAAAAAUUUUAAAUUGCUUAUCAAACUAUUUACAAAUACUUUUUAAGUAUUUAAGUGCUAAAGUAAGCCUUUUUGCUAAAAUUAUAAUUAUUUAUAAAUAGUUCUUUACAAUUUUUAUGAGUUGGUUCCUCAAAAUUAUCAUUAUUUGCCAAUUGAUCACUCCCUCUCUCAAGCCAUUUACCUUCUUCUCUCUCUUUAUUGCCUAUCUCCCUCUUCCUCCCUAUUUCUUUUCUCUCCAAAGAAAAUAAAAUCCAUAAAACUUGUACUAAAAUUCCACAUGAAAUUCAAACCUUCCUCUGCUUUUGCCAAACCGCUAAAGAAAAUCAAGUAAAUGCAACCAUCCGAUUCAAAACGUGGCCUCCGAACAAUAAACAAAUCCCAUAAACCCGUUCAAUUUCUCAAUUAUGUAUCAUAUAAUUUAGUUUACUAUUAAAAUAUAUAAUUAUCAAUUUAUUAUAUUACUUACAUUAAUAUAUAAAAUUUUUAUUUUUUAAUAUUAUUUUAUUUUAUUAUUAAAUUAUGAAAAACUGUAAUUUCAUAAUUUUUCAAAUACAGUAGUAGUUCACAGGUUUAUAAACUGAAAAUCAAUUGAUUGAUAAUUUUAUCAAACAGUAUAAAACAAUUAUUAGACAUAAAACCUCAUUAGCUACCCUAAACUUUUAAUUCAGACACCCUCUAAAUAUCCUGGCUAAAGUGUCUGAAACGUGAUGCACGAAAAGUAGCAUUAGUUCCACCGGGGUUCCUUUCAUCCUUUUGUCAUUCCACUCAAUUGAGAAGAAGAAACAUAGUCCUUGUCUUCAUUAUUGAACUCGCAUGCUCUAUGUCACCGUAAAAUUAGGGAUGAUAACGGUUCGAAUAUUUUUGAAUAUUUGAUUUAAAUAAAAUUAUAAUAAAAUAAAUUUAAAUAAUUAUAAUUAAAUUUAAAAUAAUUUUGAAUUUAAAAAAUAAUAUUUAUGACGGAUUCAAAUUUUAUUUAUAAAAUAUUUAUCGUUUAAAUUUAUUUAUAUAAAUAAUUAAUUUAAUAUAAAAAUAUAUAUUUUAUAAUAAUAUUUAUAAAAAUAUUUUAUAAUUUUUAUUUAAAAAUUAAAAUUUAAAUAUUUUUUAAAAAUAUUAAAUUUUUUAAAUUAAAAUUAUUAAUGAAAAUUAUUUUUAUAUAAAUUAUUAAUUAAAAUAGAUGAUAUUAAAUAGAUUCGAAUUUUAUUUAAAUAAUAAUAAUCGAGUUUAUAAUUAAUUUGUACAGUUUAUGUUAAUUUUAAAUUUAAUUUUUAAUUAAAUUUAAAAUAAAUUUAGAUAUUAUUAAUAUAAAUCACAUUUAUAUUUGGAUAUUUUAAUUUUUGGGUACCAUACCGUUUAUUUACAUUCAUAAGUAAAAUAUUUACAUAAAUCCAAUUAUCCAUCAUAAAUAAAAGAUUUUUAAAUAUAUUUAAAUAGUUUCAUUAUAAAAUAAAAUAAAAUAAAUUUUAAUAUCUCUUAUAUUCAUGAUGUAUCGGAUGAAUCUAAAUAUUUCUUAUUCCAUAGUUGGCUAGAAAAUAUCAUCAAAUAGCAAGUACCAUCCUUAAGCGGGCAUGUUCAUAAUUUUUUGGUUUCACAUCAAAUUGAACGAUUUAUUGAAUUUAUACUAAAAUUCUGAAAUAUAUAUAGAAAUUAAAUUAAAUCGCAUUUAUUUUAUACUUAUUUAUAUUCAGUUUCAAUUAUUUAUUAAAAAAUCAGAAGCAUACCAAAUUAAAUUGAGUUAUAUAUUUUAUAUAAUUAUGAUAUAAAACUGAUUUUUAAUUUUUUAUUAGGAAUUUUAAUUUGUUUUUAGUUCAAUAUGUUGUUAUCUAAUUUUUGUGAAGAAUUAGAAUUGAAUUAAAUUAGUUUUUCAGGUUUUUGCUAUAAUUUUUUUGGUUUGAUUAUGGACUCCUACAAAAAUGCAGGCCAUUAUAAUUAAAAUAUUAAAAAUCAACUUAAAAUAAGCAAACACAUUUCAACAAUUUAAGUAAUAUUUUUUAAAAGAAUAAAAAAAAAAAUCUUUGUAUGGAGAAGCAUCAAAGGUAUUUUUGCCAACUAAAGCUGACGAUUGAUGUGGAUUCUACUUGUCUUAUAAAUGGACAACAGGACGAUGAAAUUGCACAUGAGCGUUGAACUAUCUUUUUAAAUUUUUUUUUCCAAUUUCUGGAUGAGAAAGCCUAUAACGCACCGUCUGCUUGUUAUUGCUCCUGUGGCUUGCGGUGGGAUUAAAAAAAUAUAUUUGAUUUAAUUAUUAAAUACCGAGGAUGAAAUAAGUUAAUUAAUUUAUAUUAAUUAUUUAUUAAAAUUUUUUAUAAAAUUAAUCGAACUGAAUUAAUUUAAAAAUUUAUUUUUAAUUUUAAAAAUUUUAAUUAUUUUAAUUUGAUUUUAAUUAAAAAAAUUAAAAAAAUUAAACGAAUUUAAUUAAUAAUAAUAAUAUAUUAUUUUUAAUAAUAUAAAAAUUAAAUUAUAUUAAAAUAUUUAAUAAAAAAUUUAUUAAAAAUUUAAAUUGAUUUCAAAUUAAUCAGUUAAAUUUAAUUUGAUUUCUGAUCAAAAUCAAUUCGAUUUUUAUAAAUAUUCAAAUUUUAAUUUUUUAUUUAUUUCCAUUGAAUAACUAACAAUAAUAUAUAUAUAUAUAUUAUAUAUAUAUAAUGUAAUUUUAUAUUAUAAAAAAUUAAAAAAUAUUAGAAAACCAGUUGUGGGUCUCCUUACUACUCCACUCCAUCUCAUUGCACCCAUACUCCAUAUUCGGAUGCAGAUUGGGGGAGAAAGACACUAAUUAGGAAAGGGUCCCCUCUGCCUACGGCCUGCUCGCUACUCGCCUGGCUGACUACGGCACUGGCCUGCUCGCUACUCGCCUGGCUGACUACGGCACUGGCUUUUUUCUCAUCGCAAUUGAAGAAGAAUCCGCUGUUAGUCUUUUAGCCACAGACGCUCUUGAGUAAAUAUCGGCUGUGGUCCUAUCAGCUCAACCAGUUGCCGGUCUUAUUUGCAUAAGAAAUGGUUUUGGCGGAAUACGUUGUUUGUCAUCUAUAUGUAGUCUUUUUUAUCUUGAAAAAAAGAGUUGAAUGUGAAAAAUUAUAAUUAUUUAUUUUUUAAAAUUAUUGUUUAAAUCGAAUUUAUAUAAUGUAAGUAUAUAGGAUUUUUUAUAAUUUUUAUUAAUUUAUUAAUAAUUUUAUUAAAUAAUAAUGCGACAAUUAUUGGACGUGCCUUAUAGCCACACAAAACCUUUGAUUCAAAUACCUUGUACAUAUCUUGGGAGGGAGUGAUUGAGACAUGAUGCACAAAAAGUAGCAUUAAUUAAUUCCACUAAGGUUCCUUUCAUCCUCGGUCCUUGCAUUAGAGGGAGAAGUAGAAAGCAUAAUCGUUCAUUUCAUUAUUACCUUAGUGUUCACAACUCAUGUGCUCCUUUUUUCCAUUAUGUUUUGUGAAGCUACAUCAAGCAUUCAAAAUUUAAAUAAGGAAUUAAAAUUCGAUUAUUUAAUCACACUCUAUAAACUAUAUAAUAUAAAUUGUGAUACUCUAAAUAUUUAUAAAUUUGACUAUUCCAAGAGAUAUAAAAAAAACUCCUAUCACAAUUCUAGUCCCUAUACAAAUAAGUUUUAUAAUAAAAUAAUUCUAAUUCAAAAUCUUUUAUAAUUUAUGUAUCAAAAUGAUUAUCACAGUCGAUUAUCACUAUUUUUAGUUUUUUCUUUAUAAAUCUAAUCUAAUAAUUUAGAGAUUUUAUUAAGAGUAAUAUCGGUCUUUUAAAAUUGUCAGAAAUGGUGGGUCCCUAUAGAAUUUUCCAUUAGAGUGAGUAGUGAAAGCAUAAUUGUCCAUUUUAUUAUUGUCUUAGUGUUCAUAUGCUCUCUUCCCAUAUGUCUUUAUUAUAAUAUCACUGUCGAUAAAAUAUCAAAGUAAUUUUCAUUUAUAAUCUCUCAAUUGUCAUAUUUUUUAAUUUAAUUACUAAACUUCAAUUUGAUUCUUAAAAGUUAUUAAGUUUAAUUUAAAUAUUAUCAAACUCUCUUUAACUUUUUAUGACAAGUUUCUAAAUUAAUUCAAUUAAAAUAUUAUUUCUCAUAUAAUUUUAUAUUUUUUAAUUAAAAUUUAAUAAAUUUUAAAUAUUUAUACUUAUAAUGAUAUAUUUAUAUUAUGUUUUUCGUCCCUUUUAUUGGCGUUUGUCUUCUUAGAAUUAAUUGUGUGAGAAAUACCCUUAUUUAGUAAUAUAUUGAGCUUCAUUGGCAUUUUUUUUAGAUUAGAUCCAAACAAACUAUUAUUUUUUAUGACGGAUUCCCAACGUUGAAUCAGGUCUUACACGAUUCUUAAUUACUAGAGUUUUUAGAGUUUUUUUUAUAUGGAUUGAAUUAUUAUUAACUGUGAACUUAAUUACAUUUUUUUUAUCGGUCAAUUAGACUUACAUAUGCCUAUUUUAUUUUUGCUUUAUUGGUGUUUUUUUAGAUUUUGAUCAUAUAAAAUUUUUAAUUAAAUAUAUAAUAAAAAUCAACUUAUAAUUAAUAUGACGUAUUUUAAUAUAAAAACUUUAAAAUAAUGAACACAUUUUUAACGAUCUAAAUAAUAUUUUUUAAAAGAAUAAGAAAAACAUACUUGCUCAUAGUUGCAAAUUGAGCCUACGGACUUUACACCAUAAUAAUUGCAGCCAAAAAACAAGUUUAAAUUGAAGUGUGGAUCCCUUAGCAUCUCUUUCGUAGAAAGAAAAGAUAGAGAAAAAAAAAAAAAGAGAGUAGAAUAGUAAGGAAAGUAAAAUCUAUAUGUAAAAAAGAAACAGAAAAUAAUUAAUUUUCUUAUAAGAUUGUUGUUUUACCAAAAUAAAAGGAAAUUAUGUGUUUCUUUAAUGAUUCUGAUGACCGCUAGUUUUCACUAUCCGGAAUAAGAUUUAGCUCAUGAUAGUAAUCUGAUUCAAAGGUCAUGGGGCCUCUUCAAUGAGCCGGCCUGGACCACCCAGCCUUAAGGUCGGGCCUCCCGUGGGCCUCGGCCCUUUCGCAUCAAGUUCGGUCCGGGAUGCGACAGGAGAAAAGAUAAUCGGCCCAUCCUUUCAGUCACCUCGCAGCCCUGUCUACACGCGCACCGGGAGAAUUAAAUGGCCGUCCGGCUUGGAGAGAGUGUCUGACGGUUUCGCAUGUACGGACCUGUAUGACAAAGAUAAAAUACAAUUACACUGAGGGGCCGUUAGGCAUCGCUAAUAGACAGAAAGGGAAGAAAUAAAAGAAAGAUAGCACAUUCUCUCACCUAAACUUACCCGACCAUCGUAAAUUCUAUUUUUCUCUAAAUCUCAUAUCAUCAUAUUGAAUGAAAAGAAAAUUGAAAAAAGAGAUGUUUCUACAUAAUAAUAAUAAUAAUAAUAAUAAUAAUAAUAAUAAUAAUAAUAAUAAUAAUAAUAAUAAUAAUUUUUAAUAAUAUGAUGAAAAUAAAAUUGUUUUUUUAUUCUUAUAUCUCUCUUCCAGAUUAAUUUUGUUUUUUAUUUGUUCUCUCAUAAAAAUUACAUAUUUAAAUAAUAAAUAAACAAGAAGGAGAAAUUUUCCUAUUUUUUAGAUUCAUUUUAUUAUUAUUAUUUAGUUUUUUUAAAUAAUUAAUAUUUAAUGAGAUAAUUUUUAAUUGUUUUUCAUAUUAUAAAUUAAAUUCAAUAGUAGUAUUUAAUAAAAUAUAAUUAAUAAGAAUUAAUAAUGUUUUUAAAAACAUUUCAAAAAAUUUAUGAAUUAUUACUAUUUAGUUAAUAUUUGAUAUUCAUUUUAUUUAUUUUAAAUAUUUAAAUGAUAAUAAAAGUAAAAAUUGAUAAAUUAAAUUGGUAAAAAAAAUUGUACUACUUAAAGAAUUAAAAUUUAUAUUUAAUAACUGAAAUUGACAUAAUAAAAAAAUAUAUUAGGAGAGAGAAGAAGGAAAAAAAUAUUUUUAUUUAUUUUUCUUUUAUAUAUUAUAUUAAUAUGUAAAUUGAUUAUUAUUAUUUUAUUUUAUUUUUAAAAAAAAAUUUCAAAAUAUUUUAAAUUUUAUUUAUUUCACAGAAAAUAAUUUAUAUUUAAAAUAAAUAUAAAUAUAAAGAUAAUAAAAAAAUUAUAUUUUUUAAUAUAUAUAAAAAAAUAAAAUGUAUAAAAAUUAUGAGAGGAAAAAGAAUAUUGUAAUUAACUUAAAUAAUACUAAUAGUUGAGUAGUUAAUUGUAGGGGUGAGCAGUAUUCGGUUCAAACCGAAAAAAUUGACCGAAUCGAAUUGAUUUAAAAAUUUAGUUCGAUUUUUUAUACAUUUCGGUUCGGUUUGGUUUUUAAUUUUAGAAAUUUCGGUUAUUUCGGUUCGGUUCAGUUUUAAUCAGAAAAAAAUAGAAAAAACCGAACCGAACCGAUUAGUGAUAAUAAUAUGUUUUUUCAAUAAUAUAGAGAAAUUAAAUCAUAUAAAAAUUAAAAUAUUUUAAUUAAAUUUUAAAAUAUUAAAAAUAAAGGGUAAAAAAUUAAAAAAUUAUUAAAAAUUGAAAUCGAUCAAACCGAACCGAAUCGAACCGAAUCAGACCGGUUCGGUUCGAUUCGAUUUCUGACCAAAAUCGGUUCGGUUCGGUUUUCAUAAACACUAAAAUUUCAAUUUUCGGUUUAUUCGGUUCGGUUCGGUUUUAAACCGAACCGACCGAAUAAUCACCCCUAAUUAAUUGGUUAAAUAAUUUAUAAUUAUUUUGAUGGUAAUUAAUUAAAUAUUAUAAAAAAUAAAAUUUCAAUUCACACCGUCAAACUUUGAAUAGUUAAUUACUAAACAAAAACUUUAAAUGCUUCGCCGGACGGAGUCUAAACGUUGAAUUCUAGACCAACUGACUGUUACGCAGAUUUAAAAUAAACAAAUAAAAGUAAUUUUUUUUUCUCAAAAAAUAAAUAAAAGUAGGAUUUACUUUUCUUUUUUUUUAAUAAAAAAGUAGGACUUAGUUUGUUCACGACAAAUGCAUGAUCCGUCCCUCUGAGAGGUAUAUAACCAAAGCAUAAGGGGAGGACCAGUAUUAUCUGUCGAGCCUUGUUGAGGAAUUAUGAAUUCGGGGCAGAGCAACCCAACUCCAGCGAUGACAAGUAGCCAGCCACUGGAGAAACCAGUGGUGGUGAUAGGGCCACAGUUCCUGGCGCAGUAUCCGGUGGAUCUCACUAUCGCCAGCAAGCUCUUGACUCUUGGAGAAAAUAAUUUUUCAGUCACUGACGUCAACGGCACUCUUAUUUUCAAGUUGAAGAGCAAGCUCUUAAGCAUCCACGACCGUCGUUUUCUGCAAGACGCCGCCGGCAAAACCCUUGCCACUCUCCGGCAGAAGGUAUGUCCCUCUGCAUACUCUGUCAAUUACCCAUUUGAUCCGAUUGUUAACUAAUAUAUCUUUUUUUCCAAAAAAAAAAAAAUUGCAGAUAGCGACUGCCCAUCGGAGGUGGGAGGUUUUCAGAGGAGAGAGCACAGACGCUAAAGAUCUGCUUUUCAGUGCCAAGAAAUCAUCAAUAAUCCAAUUCAAGACGGGAUUAGAUGUAUUCUUAGGCAGUAAUACAUCAGAAAAUGUUCCUGAUUUCAAGAUCAAAGGAACUUGGAAGGAGAGAUCCUGCACAAUAUAUCUUGGAGAGUCCAAUACCAUCAUUGCACAAGUAAUUAAUUAAAACCAAGAUCAAUUUCGCAUAUAAAUAAACUACAUCUUCUUCAAAUCUGGAGACUAAUUGAUGGGUUAUUUUUGCAGAUGUACAGGAGACACACUGUGAAGACGGCUCUGUUGGAUGCAGACAACUUUGCUGUGACAGUGUAUCCUAAUGUGGAUUAUGCCUUCGUGGUGGCUCUUGUGGUUGUUCUUGAUGAGAUCAACGAUGACCGCAGGGGAGAUGAUUAAAUAUUAAUAUCAUUUGUGUAUGUUAUUAUGGAAUUCCCCAACUAGCUAUGGAAAUAAAAGUGGGUUGUGCUCUGGAUUGCAGAAAAGUUCUGGUAAGAACAUGUAAUCUCAUGUCUAGUUAUGAUUAACUUGAAUGGGUGUAUCAUGUAUGUUAGGAUUUAGCUUGAAUUGCGUGCAUUUGAAAUAAGUGGUGUUGUCGUUGGCCUUUAAAAGAGUGUAAAUGAGUUGACAGAGGUUUGAAGUGCUCAACCGUUAAAUUUUUGUUCAGCUCUAGCUCCGGUUUAAAAAAGCUGGAUACGUGUUAAUGAGAGAGUUUCAUUCUAGAGACUCGUCCCUCUUUGCUUGCUGGGAUAUGCCACUCUCUUUUACCCCCACUGAGUAGGUGAGAGCUUUCCCCUUAGUCUAAAGUGGAGGCCUCCAUGUUGGGAUUUACAUAUAUCGGUUGUGUUUUAAUUUUUAUUGCAUGUUCUUUAUUUUUUUUAAAAAGUAAUAUUUUAUUAAUUACAGUGAAACCCAAUGUUAUAAACUCAAAUAUAAAAAAUAUAUAUAUAUAUAUAAUUCAAACUCAAAAAGAAAUGCUAAAGUUAAUAGUGUGAGCCAGUAUUCUGUUACCGGUAAAUCUCAAUGUUAUAAGACUAUCUCCAAACACUGCCCCAAAUUUCAUUUUAGCAUUGAAGAUAGAGCCUCCAAUGCAGCGCCAAAACGGCGCUGCGCUAUUUGGCUUAAUAUUGUAGGAGCACCAUUUUUUUUUUAAAUUUAUAAUAUAAUUUAAAAUUUAUAUCUUUUUUUAUUUUUUUAAUUUAUAAUAUAAUUCAAAACUUAUAUAUAUUUUUAAUUAAGUUUAAUUUUUUUUUUCACUCUCAUAAUUUAUUAUAUUUUUAAUUUAUUUUAUACUUUUAUAAUUAUUGAAAUUUAAUUUAAAUUAAUAUAUUCACAAUUAUAAAUAAUAUUUAUAAUAAAUUAAUUUAUUUAUAAUAUAUUAUAUAGAAUAAUAUAAAUAAAUAAAUUUAUUUAUAAUAUAUUAUAUGAUCAUAUAAAUUAGCUUGUAAUUUUUUAUUGAUAAUUUAAUAUAUAUGAGUUUAUUUUAUUUUUAAUUUGCUAAUUAAUAUUUAAUUAAUGCAUGUUUAUAAUUAAUAUUUAAGUAAUGUUUUUUUAUAAUUAUUAUUUAAGUAAUACAUUUUUAUAAUUAAUAUAUUUUUAUUUAUUUAUUUAUAAAAUAAUUAAAUAUUUAAAUAUUGGAUGAAAAUAUAAAAUAUAUAAAUAUUUAGAGUGAAUAUAUAAAAUUAUAUGAAUUUUUUGAGUAAAAUAUAUAAAUAAAAUUAAAAUAAAAUAAAUAAUAUAAUAUUAAAGAGAGAGAAUAAUAUAAAUAAAAUAUGCUUUUUGAUGUUAAAAAUGGUGCAAAAGAUUGAAGAUAAUAUUGCAUUAUUUUAAUGUAAAACACCAAAAUAGUGUAAAAUGGUGCAUAGGGUUGGAAUGGCCUAAGCUCAAAUAUAAAAUACAUAUAUGAAAUCCAAGCUCAAGAAGAAACCCUAAAAUUAAUAGUGAGAACCAGUAUGCUGAUGUUACCGUCUCCUUCAUCGCCAUCUCUACUGCACAGUUGUGCCUAACAAAUUUUUAAUUGUCAUACCCAAAUAAGCAAGCUUGCUGAUGACUAGAAAAGGUAAAGAAGCCACUACAAGGAAGCCUGAAUCUCAUUGUAUAAGGAGCAAUAUAAAUUAGUUAUCGGAACAGAACUCUCCAAAUCGCCUCUUUGAUACAAGCUAAAGAUUCCAUUAAAGCCCAAACAAACAGAGAGACCAACUUGAACCCAAAUGAACUAGAGUGGAAAGCUAUAAGGGCACAUGCAACUAGAACAACUUGAUCUAAGGGGAAGAGAUAGUCAAAACGGCCAAAAAAAGACAAGCCAAAGAAAUCAUUGCUGUGUGAGUGGUAAACAAAGCCACUUUUAUAUAUGUGAUUUGAAGAUCACUCUAUGGUAUGUGUGUCGAUAUAGAUUCUAAGAAUAGACGAUUAUCUCGCCUUAAAAUUUAUCUCAUCUGAGUCUAGAAGAAAAAUAACUAAUAAAAAAAAAAAUUGAGUAUGGAAGAUGAAACCUCCUGAAAUUGCAAUUCUGAUAAAAAAAAUGAGGACGAAUUACUCAAAUGAUUAAGAAAAAAACAAAGAAAAGAGUUUUCUCUUUUUAUGGUUUUAUUUAUUUCCAUAUAGAUGUAUGGGUUAAAACUAUAUGAAAUAUAGUUCAAUUGGACAAUAAAAGCUCACUAUUACAUAUUUUUAUAAUUUAAUUCAAAUACUUUAAUUUUUUAUUUAUUGUCUGAAUUUUUUAUUUUUGUAUAAUUUUAAUCAAUUUUUAAAACCAACAUUUAAUAUGUAUGUACGCCAUAUAUAAUAAGUAUUUCAUAGGGUCUAAAAAGUAAAUUUUAAAAUAUUAAAUUUCGGUUGCUAAUUUUAAAACUUUGCUAAAAUUACAAUCAAUUAAAACCUGUGUUCAGACUUGUUGAGGAAUUAUGAAUUCGGGGCAGAGCAACCCAAUUCCGGCGAUGACAAGUGGCCAGCCACUGGAGAAACCGGUGGUGGUGAUAGGGCCACAGUUCCUGGCGCAGUAUCCGGUGGAUCUCAUUAUCGCCAGCAAGCUCUUGGCUCUUGGAGAAAAUAAUUUUUCAGUCACUGACCUCAACGGCACUCUUAUUUUCAAGGUGAAGAGCAAGCUUUUAAGCAUUCACGACCGUCAUUUUCUGCAAGACGCCGCCGGCAACACCCUUGUCACUCUCCGGCACAAGGUAUGUCUCUGUAUGCUCUCUUAAUUUCCCAUUUGAUCAGAUUGUUAACUAAUAUAUCUUUUUUUGAUAAAAAAAAUUGCAGAUUGCGACUGCCCAUAAGAGGUGGGAGAUUUUCAGAGGAGAGAGCAAAGACGCUAAAGAUCUGCUUUUCAGUGCCAAGAAAUCAUCAAUAAUCCAAUUUAAGACCGAGUUAGAUGUAUUCUUAUGCAGUAAUACAUCAGAAAAUGUUCCUGAUUUCAAGAUCAAAGGAACCUGGAAGGAGAGAUCCUGUAGAAUAUAUCUCGGAGAAUCCAAUACUGUCAUUGCACAAGUAAUUAAUUAAAACUAAGAUCAAUUUCACAUAUAAAUAAUAUACCUCUUCUUCAAAUCUGGAGACUAAUUGAUGGGUUAUUUUUGCAGGUGCAUAGGAGACUCACUGUGAAGAUGGCUUUGUUGGAUGCAGACAACUUUGCUGUGACUGUGUACCCUAAUGUGGAUUAUGCCUUCGUGGUGGCUCUUGUGGUUGUGCUUGAUGAGAUCAACGAUGACAAUAGUGAUGAUGAUUAAAUAUUAAUAUUAUUUAUGUAUGUUAUUAUGGAAUUCCCCAACUUGCUAUGGAAAUAAAUUGGGUUAAAUAAGUGGUUUUAUGAUACUAAAGAUGCCAAUAAAACUUAAAAGAAUAGAGAGACCAUCUUGAACCCAAAGGAACUAAGAUAGAAAACAUUUAAAGGGCACAUGCAACAUUAACAACUUGAGCUAAGAGGAAGAGAUAGAUCACGACAGCUUGAAAAAAAAAAAUAAAGAAACUACCGUCAUGAGAGAUAGAUAAGACCCCAUUUACAUUUGUGAUUUGAAGGUCACGUUUUCUUAUAGAUUGGUCACUAGCAGCACAUCUUCAUUUUAGCAAAUAUCACUACAAUCAAUUUAAAAAAAUAAGAUACUAAAUUUAAAAUUCAAGCAUUUGAAUUAAAAUACAAAUGAUUACUUUUAUAAUUUUUAUUCACUUUACCUUUUUAUUCAUAUUAAAAAAUAUAAUUUUUUUAUUAAUUUUUUUAUUAUAUCCAUUUUAAAUAUAUUAAAUUUUAUUAAAUAUUAAAAAAUAUUUUAAAAAAAUUCUUAAAAAUAAAAUAAAAUAAAAUAGAAUUAUAAUAAUCUAUUAAUAAUUUAAUAAUUAUUAAAAAAUAUUAAAUUAAACAGGUAAAAACUGCAUCCCUAUUAAAUAUGACCACAGGCCAUAUGUAAUUAGACAUGGUUAAGCCCGAACUCUACUUGAAGUCGAAGGGCCUUCAGCCUUGUAGUUAGGCCGAGCUAAUAGCAUAUGCUAAAAACUAUACAUUUUCAUUCACUUGCUCUUUCUUCACCAAUGUAUAAUAUACGGCAUUUUUUUAAAGAUUCCGAAAGCUAUACAAACUGGUAUAAGAACUAUAUAACCACGGAGAAAAUAAAAUUAAACUCGAGCCCCCAAUCAAAAACCAAACUAAAAUAUAAAUUCAAACUUAAUUAAACCACCCAAAUCAAAGAAACACACCAUCAGCAACUGUUCACCGGCUCACCUCAAUCUGCAACUUCAUGAAAACCAUUGCCCUCAUUAAAAAAAAAAACCAGAAUUUAGGAGCACGCAGUAUUCGAUUCAAAUUGAAAAAAUCAAUCGAACCGAAUUAAUAUAAAAAUUUAGUUCGAUUUUUUAUUUAUUUCGAUUCAAUUUGAUUUUUAAUUUUAAAAAUUUCAGUUAUUUCGGUUCUAUCCGAUUUUGAUCAGAAAAAAAAUUAAAUAAGCCAAACUGAACUAAUUAGUGAUAAUAAUAUAUUAUUUUCAAUAAUAUUAAAAGAUUGUAUCAUAUUAAAAUUAAAAUAUUUCAAUUAAAUUUUAAAUACUAAAAAUAAAGUAUUAAAAAUUAAAAAUUUAUUAAAAAUUUAAAUCGAUCAAAUUGAACUGAAUUUAAUCGAAUCAAAUUGAUUCAAUUCAAUUUGAUUUUUUAUCAAAAUCGAUUCAAUUUUUUUAAAUACUAGAAUAUCGAUUUUCAAUUUAUUUAGUGAAUCGAAUAUUGACCCUACUACAAUCUACACGAAGAAAAACAAAUCACUUUUAGAUAUUGUUUUAUUAAAAUUAUUUGUUGCUUUUAAAAAAUUAAUAAAUAUUAAUUGGAUUUUUUUUCAAUGUUAUUCUUAUUUAACAAAAAUAAUAACUCUAUUUAUAAUUUUUAAAAUAUAUAUUAUUAUUUUAUUCUUUUAUUGAAUUAUUUUAUUUUUUAAUUAGAUUAAUAAAGAAAAUUUUCUGAGGCUAGAAUAAUUAAGAUAGAUUAAAAAUGUCUAUUUUAAUAUAAUUUAAAUUAUUAAUAAUUUUCAUAAUUAUGGUAUGUAAAUUUUAAACUAUUGCUAAAGGCGGAAGGAAAAAGUAUUAAAUAAAAAGCACAUGCACAAAUAUAUCGGAUACGAAGCACGGAAUGCUACCACGUCAACAAAUCAUCCAAUCAAGCACCGCCAAGUACUUGACAUGUGGCCAGUUGUAUCAUAUUGCUUCAUGCAUCAAUUAUUUGUCGCAUUUCAUAAACGCAUUCGUAACGCAUACUGGACAUAUUUCGCGGUCUAAUAUUCUUAAUCCGGCGCGUUCCAAUCUUACAAUCAGGAAAAGCACGUGUACAAUAACCUUGCCUCCUUCCAUGCAAAGCAAAAGCAACCACCCUCUAUAUACAAUCCCAUCCGAUCCGAUCCGAUCCGAUCCAAUCCAUAUCAGCGCCAACGCAAGUCGAAAACCUAAAUCCUUUGAUUGCGAGCUUUGUAUCUCCGUGGUUUUGUUUUUAAUUUCAGCUUGUAUUUCAUUUUUCGUGUGAUUAAUCAUGGCCGGUCAACAAAGCAAUCCGAUACCGGCGAUGACAACUUAUCAACCAUUGCAGUCCCCAGUGAUGGUGAUCGGACCACAGUUUUUGGCACAGUACCCGGUGGAUCUGAGAGUGGCUGCCAAGCUUUUGUCUCUUGGAGAAUGUAAUUUGGGCGUCACCGACGUUAAUGGAACCCUUAUUUUCAAGGUGAAAAGUAAACUAUUAAGCAUUCGUGAUCGUCGCUAUUUGCUUGAUGCCGCUGGUAACAUUCUUGCCACUUUCCAGCAAAAGGUUCCUUCUAUCAACUUUUAUUUAUCUCUCCUCUGUAUUUUAUUAGUAGCUUGUUUUUGCCCUUUAGAGCCCCUGCAUGAAAUAAAUCAUUAGAAAAAUUCAAUUGAAUUUUUAGCAUGGAUUCUACUUUUUAAUUGCAAUAUUUUAAGUUAAAAAUUGAAAUUUGUAUAUUUAGAUAUGAAAAUUAAUAAUAAAAAAAAAACAACAAUGGAAUUAAAUUUUUAUAAAAUAAAUUGAUAGGAUAAUGAUGAGCUUAAACUCAUCAUCGUUGGAUGGAGUUGCUCUUUUGACCAUGGAGUAUUGAUUCAUGUUCAGAUAUUGACUGCGCACAGGAGAUGGCAAGUUUUCAGAGGAGAUAGCACAAACGCCCAAGAUUUAAUUUUCAGUGUGAAGAAGUCUUCAAUGAUCCAAUUGAAAUCAGAAUUAGAUGUAUUCCUAGCUACCAACACUGCAGAAAAUGUUCCUGAUUUCAAGGUCAAGGGAAGCUGGUCUGAGAGGUCAUGUAUCAUAUACCUUGGACUAUCCAAUAUCAUCAUUGCACAGGUAAUUAAAGCUCUAAUCCUUAAAAAAUAUUAUGAUCACAGAAUUACCUUUACGAUAAUUAAGGUGAUGUUAAUUAAUGGGUAAUUAAUGCAGAUGCAUAGGAAGCACACACUUUCAAGUGUUGUGUUUGAUGCGGAUAAUUUUGGCGUGACUGUGUAUCCCAAUGUUGAUUAUGCCUUCAUAGUUGCACUUGUAGUGAUUCUUGACGAGAUCAAUGAGGAUCGCCGUGGUGAUGAUUAGAUAGCAACGUAUUGAUGUUUAUAGAAGAAUGGUUUGCAUUUCUUUGUUGCUUUCUCUUUGAGAACACAUGUUAUUUAGAUCAUAAACAGUGGAGGUUGAUAAUGACAUGAACUGUUGAAGAGAACUUUAGAUUCUAAGUUGUGUGUUUCUUUCCUCAUGAAAGCAUUGUGACAUGAACUGCUGAGGAGAAUUUAUUGUUGUUCUUUCUUCUUUGUUCUUCUUAAUACAUAUUAGACAGGAUGGAUGUGUUGAGAAGUUGGAAAAUUAGAAAUAAUUAAUUGAACUAAUUUUUAAUUAAUUUUUAUUGGUGAAAGUUAUAGAAUUUUGAGUAUGAAAAAAGACAAUUGGAGAUAACAAUUUUAUUGUUUAUGUAUUUUUGUGUUCUAAUUCAAUUGCUAUAAUUUUAAAUUAACAUUUUUAUUUUUAUAUAUUGAAAACCGACUAUCUCCCAGCAACCAAGGGAGUAAUCUUUCUAAAAAAAAUAGAGACAGAUGCACGUGAUUGACCCAUAUUUGAUUGGUGAUCUAAAUUUUUUUUGUUUUAAUUGGUGCAAUAGUAAUUUGAAUUUAAGAUGCUUAUAUUGGAAUUUUGUAAGACAUAAUAUAAUAUGUAUAAUAUUAUCACUCUUUUAAAUUUAAAUAAAUUUUAGAGUUAAUAGUAAAAAAGCUUUUUUUACUAAUUAAGUUAUGAUUUUUUUAAAAUUGUUUUAAUUUUACCGUUACUUCUUCAGGUAAGAAUUAAUAAAAUUUAUCAUGUUAUUUAUUCUGUCGUCACUUGUGCAUGUAAGAAUUAAUAAAUUUCAUUAUAUUACUUAUUCUUUUGUUAUUUGUGUAAUUAAAAAUUAAUAAAAUUUAUCAUGUUAUUUAAAUCAGCCAUUUGUGCAGUUAUAUUUUCGUAACCUUAACAUGCUACAACAAUAAAAUUGAUUGAUAAUGAUGACUGACCGUUUCUUUAUUGGACCCAAGAUGAGAACUAUAGCUUAAAAGUUAUAGUUUUUCUUAAGUAAAAUCGAUCCAGCGUCUCGAGUGUGCAGAGUAGGUCGGGUUCAUUAUGAGUCUGGAUUCAAUGAGAAGAAGUCCGGUCCAUGAAGUGAUGUGAGAAAAAAUAGCAGGUUCAAUCACUUCGCAGUCCUAUCCGCAUGCGCGCCGGAGAGAAUUAAAUGGUCGUCUGGCAUGGAGAGAAGUUCUGACACAUCCGUAUUGACAGAGACAGCUAAUAUUGUAGCAGAGAGACAGAUAUACAUCACAAGAGAGAAAAGGAGAUUCUCUCUCUUCUUCCUUCUGCUUCAUGAACUCUAUUUUUCUUUAUUUUUCUCUCUGUAAUUCUUGUCUAUUCAUACUAUUCUAGUUCAUAAAAUCUGAUUUGAACGUCGAAGUGUUUUCACCGGACAUCCUUGGUAGACCCCUGACCAUCUUUCUUCAUUUUGCAUAUUUCUUUUUCGAAUCAAGUAUUGAGGGACACAUAUGAUGAAUCAAAAAAAAAAUCAGAGGAAAAUCAGAUCUAUCAAAUAGAGCAGGAUGAAAUUUUAAAUUUAUCAGAUAAUAAUUUAAAAAUUGAAAUAAUAAUUUAAAAAUUAAAAUAAUAAUUUAAAAGUUUAAAUUAGAAUUAAUAUAAAAUUUUUUAAUAAUUAUUUAUUUUAUUAAUUUUUUGUAAAAUGAAAAUUUGAAUUUAUUAUUUUAUAAUUAUAUUCUUUUAGUUAUAUUUAAUUAGAUAAUUAAAUAUUUAAUUUAUAUAUUAUUAAUUUUUUUCCCGAAUAAUAUUAAUUUUAUUAUGAAUAUAGUACUUUCAAUCUUUUUAUUUAUUAUUUUUAAAAAAUUUUAGAAUAAUCUAUUACUAUAACACUUGUCAUUAUAAAAAUAAAAUCAAAUGGCAAUUUUUAACAUAAUGCAGUAAAUUAAAUAAUAAAUUUUAGAGUAAAAUUUAGAAUUUCAGCUUUCAUAUUUAUUUUGAACACCAGAAUUUAAGAGAAGUUGGCAAGGGAAUUUUGUGGUUGCAAAAGGAAUAGUAAUCUAAUUCCUGAUCUGACUAAUAGGGAAAGAAAGAAAGGAAGGAAUCCAUUGAAGGAACAGCAAGACACAAACCUAUGCUUAAUAGAACAGAACAAUCCUGUCCCUGGCCCAUCCUCCUUGUCUCUUGGUUUUUUUUUUUUUGGACCAAAGGGUAUCUAUUUUGCAUGCAGCUGGGCCAUCUAUCUGCUUUCAUGGUUUUUUGAAACUAAAGAAAGUAUUUUUCAUACGAGAAUUAAUUUUUUUAAUUAUUAAUUAUAUAAAAUUUAGUGCAUUAAUGAAAUUUUUCUUUAAUUAUGUUUAUUUACGUGUAUAAAUAAUGACUGAAAAAUUAAAUUUUAUAUGAGAUUGCGUUUUCAUUUUAAAAAGAAUUAUGAAUAGAGUUGGUCAAUUCCAAAAGCAUUUCUUUUGCAAUUGGUAGUUAAUGGAGUAUAAUGCAUAUGUUACAAAAUUAAAUGUAUUGUGAUCUUCUUAUUUACGAAGAAGGGCAAAUGGUUUCCGAGAUUAAUUAAUAUUGUUCAUAUCAUAAUUUUUUAAGUAUGAAUUUAUAAAAUAAAAGAAAAUAAUGGAUGGAUUGUUUUAGUUGAUACUCAAAUCAGUAUAUGUGAUGAGUAAAUUAUAAAAUUAAUAAGGUAGGAUAUGGAGUUUAGAUAAAAUAAGAUAUAAAAUCUUAUGAAUAAUAUACUAUUAUAUUUAGAUUCUCCGAAUAAUUGAUGUUAUUUGAAUUAUUAGAUCUAAAUUGAAUAUAAUUUUUUUUAAAAAUAUUAUUUAAUAUCAUCAAACAACUCAUUAGAUAAUUUUUUUAAUUUUCAAAAAUUUUAGUAACAUUAUAAAAAUUCAACUAAUUAAUUUCUUUUUAAUUUUAACUGGUAAAUAUUUUAUUAUUUAAUUUUUAUAAUUUAAAAAAAUUAUUAAUUAAUCUUUUAAAUAUAUAAAAAAUCUAUUAAUUGUCUUUUUAUAUUAAAAAUAUUUUAAAAUUUUUUUUAUAAUAUUUAAUGAUUAAAAUUAAUAAAAUGAUCAAUUAACUUUUUAAAUUGUAAUAUAUUGAAACAUAAUAUAUUGAAAUGUGUUUUUUUAAAAAUAAAGUAAUUAGUAUUUAAAAAAUACACACUUUUUUUUUCAAUUGAGCAUGCAGUGAACUGCCCCCAGACACUUAUUGGUUAAUUUUUUUUUUUUUUUUUGAAAUGAAUCUAAUGAUACAAUCGUGUUGUAUUAUGACCAGAGAACUGUAAGGUAAACAUUAAAAAUUAGCUUACAAAAAUGUGCCAUCUAAUCUUUUAAUGAUGUUUAAGAAAUCGCCACAUUCACAGAAUUAAUUAAAUAAUUUCACAAUAUUUUUAAUAUUUAUUAAUUAACAAUUUUAUUAUUAAGAGUUUUUUUAAUUUAUAAAAUAUUAAAAUAAAUAUUAAUAACAUAUAAAUAAUAAGACUCAUUGAAAUAAUGAUACGUGUACACGAGAUUUAGAAAAGUUUCAUAAAUCUACCUCAUUGGUCCGAUCGGUCAGUAGAAAAUUUGACCUACUGAGUUACAAAGAUCAUAACAACACUCAUGACUCUAUUAAAAUUCGGAACAGAUGGAUAGACUCCUUCAAGGUUAAGUAUUGGAGGUAAGUUUGACCAAUCAUAAUAAAUAGGGAAACUCACCUCAACACAAAUUGAGUGAGCCCGAGCAUGACCUGAUUAGAUUGUGGUAGGAUACCAACCUUUUACACACUGAUCAUCUUCUUAGUAUAUUAUUAGAAUUAUAAAUGCACGUGCAAUAAAAUAGAUUAACGUGAUGCAUAUAAUAGAUAAGGAAUGUACUAGUAAAGAUUAAGGGAGAAAAGUUUAAUAUUAUGGAUAAAGGCAAAAGAAAACUUGCAUCGUCUUUGCUUAACUUUAUUUAUAGAGAUUUAAUAUAAUGACUAUAAAAAAAAAAUGAAAGACUCUCUCAAUUUUUAGAGAACACGAGAAUCAAAAAAAUGAUAAGAAAAUAUGCAAAAUCUUUAUGGCUCCUUUAUUUUCCGACGAAGGAUGCCUACUGUAUAUAAGGAUAUGGUUUAUUUUUUAAUCAUAUUUUGUUAUGCUGAGCUUAAUGUUUGGUUCAUUUAUUGUUUUUGGUUGAAUUUUUUAAUUUUGUUUUGAGUCUUAGUCGAAGUGUCACUUUAUCGGAGUUGUGGGAGUUAGUGAUUAUUUGGUGCCGAAGCAUGGACUGUGCUUCUACAAAUGGCUCUUUACUUAUGAAAAUCUGAAAUCGUCGUGGGCUAACCCUCUAUCGGUGGUGGUAAUUAUUGUUCUUUGGGGUUCUAUUUCAUUCUUAAUAAUACGGUGAAACACCUUUUUAUUUGCUGGUUUUUUUUUUAUUAGUGAUUUUGACUUUUUUAAUAUUUUGAUUAGUGUUGAUUUGUUAAGGGUCUGUUGCAUAUUACUUUAGUCAUGGUCGAUUGGUUUGUUGUAUUAUUGUUUACUUUUAUUGGCCUGAUCAAAGCAACAAUGCAAUUUUUGUAGUUGAGACAUUAAUGGCAUCCUUGAGAGUGCUGGAUUUAGUGCACAAUAUUGCGUCGGUUGAGUUUUGAAUUUUUCAAUUUCUCAUGUAGAUAUUAUUGGAUUAGGCAAAAACUUCGAUAUGGACAUUUUUUGAAUCGUGAAUUUUGAAUUUUUCAAUUUCUCGAGUAGGUAUCACUGGGUUAGGCAAAAAUUUCGGUAUGGACACUUUUGAAUUGUGAGUUUUGGGCUUUAUUAAUUAUCUAUGAUCUCUUUAUAAGUAUUUUAAUAAAACUUAUAUUUUACGGUAGAAUAAAAAAAUAAUUUAACACUUAUUUAAUAAUAAAAAAAAAUGUUGGGUGCAGUGUUUUCCAUAAAUUAUUUUUUUUCAUUUUGACAUAAGCUGUGGAUAGUGUUUAAAAAUAAUUUAUUUCAAUUUCAAUACUAAUGAGAUAGUCAAUUGAUUGCAAUAAGAGUUUGAAGUAAAUACAAGAAAAUGUUUGAAGUGUAUGGAUGAUUUGGACUUUUCAAGGGUUUCUAUUAUGUGUCUUUUAUUGAAAAUUCCAGGGGCUCUAUACAUUUGAUUUUCAGACAUCGAAUUGACAUGACUAGCAAAGGCUGUGAAAGACUCUUUAUUUUUUUAGGAUUUCUUAGAUUUUCAGUUGUUUUGAUUUUAGUUGUUGGAUUGUUUUGUACGCAGUUAGAUACAUCUUAAAGCUUGGCAAUGCAUAAAGAAUAUGAUGAGGAUAAGGAUGAUGAUAAGAGGUUGAAGUGUGUUGUUUAGUGUACACUCUGCCGCUUCCAAUAGUUUCCAUCUCUGUCAAUUUUUGGGUGGUCGACCAUUAAUCGUUGAACACCAUUAUCUCAUUUAGUUCCCAUCUCUAUCAACUGGCCUCUUCCCUUCACUAUUAAUUUUAAAUUUAAUUAAAUUCCUUUUUUUCUCUCAACUUUAAACUAAUGUUUUUUUUUUUUUUUUGAAAUAGGGGGUUGGGGGAGUCGAACCUUAGACCUUUCAAGGCUACAGGAUGCACUUUCCACCAGGCUCAACCUUGGAGUGCAACUUUAAACUAAUGUUUAAUUUUAAUCAAUAUUAAGUUAUUAACCUAAUUUAUUAUAAUCUUUUAAUUUAGAUCAAAUUAGCCUAUUUUUAGUAAAAGUUUUAAUAAUAAAUAUUUUUCGUUAAUUAUUUUUUCUUUUAAUAAAAAAUAUUUUUAUGUUAAUUAUUUUUUUUUAAAAUAUUCAAAUUACAAUAAAUAUAAAAAAAAAAUUAUAAAAUAAAUGGAGUCAUUAUAUUGUAAAAUAAUAAUAACAAUAAUAAUAGAGGAGGUAGUAAAUUAAAGGAAAUAAAAUUUUAAAAAUAAUUUUUUAAAUAUACUGUAUUUAAGUAAAUUUUUGAGAUUUUUUAUUUGAAUAAGAAAAUAAAUUAAACUCAAUCAUCCAGUUGAUUUGAUAAUUAAGGAUUCCCACUAACCAAAUUGAUUGGAUUUAUGAAGACACUCCAACCUUGGUUACUGGCUCUACCCCACCAAUACAAUACAUCAAUUAUCUUCCUAUUUUUUAAUUAAUUAUAUUUUAUCAUAUUUAUUUAUUAGUUGAUUAUCUUUUUAAUUUGAUCACUUUUCAAUUUAUACUACAUAUACAAUUGUUUGAUAAAUAUAAUUUUUAAAUUAAUUUUCCAAAAUUAGUAAUUAAUGAUUUAAAAUUAUAUUUAUGUCAUUAAAUGAAAUUAAAUUUUUAGUUUCCAGCUGGUUCAUCAUUUUCUAUUGUUAAUAGAAUAAAAUUUUAAAUUUUAUUUGAUUGGAAGUAAGUUAAUUAAAAAAUUUUUAAUUCUUAAAAAGUUAAUAUAUUAAACUUGUUUAGGUGAUUUUUUUUNNNNNNNNNNNNNNNNNNNNNNNNNUUUUUGUGUUUAUUUUGUCUAUAUUUGUUUACGUUUGCUUGGUUUUGAUUUGAAAUUUAUACUCAAAUAUUAUUCGUCAGAUUUUAAAUAGAUCAAUAAUAAUCAGUGUUGGAGACCUUGUUAGACUCCUCAAGAUGACUCUAUAGUUAUAAUAGACUGAAAAUGUCAUGGAUUAAUCUUUAUUUUUAGUGAAUGAUGUCGCUACAUAGAAUCAAUCAUAUUAUUUGUUCAACUUGUUUUUAGUUUCAAUAAUGACUAUUUAUAUAUUUGUUAUUCUUUGUUAUAUUUCUUUCUAUAAAUUAACUUCUCAUGGUUUUCAAGUGUGGUGUUUUUACGGUAUUCUUUUUAAUUUACGAUUAUUACUGUUUUGCAACGCCCAACACGACAAUAAAUACCAAUAAAGAGAUAUAGUAGAUGGAAUAAUUAUUAUGGGUGUAUGCAUGUCACGUAAUUUUUCAACUGUUUAUUUUUUAUUCCAUGUCAGGUUGGGUUUGGGUUGAUUGAAAAUUGGUUGGAUUUUUUUGAAUUGGCUUUUAUACUUUAUGAGUGUAUACCUCAUCUGUAAUUGUAAUGAUAUGAGGUGAAUUUGGGCAAUUUAAUACAUUACUCUUGCACUGUAAAAAAAAAAGUUUAAUAUUAUAUAUAUCUAAAUUUAUACAGCAUAAAAUGUACAUAGUGAAUGAAAAUUUAUAUAUAAAUAUUAAAUCCACACUUAUAUGAGGUUAAAUUCUCAAUAUGCUUAUUAUAUAUGCUUUAAAUAAUUGUACAUGUAUUUCAAUACAAAUAUUUAAUUUAACAAUCUAUAAGUUGAUUAUGAUAUGAAAUUAAAUUUAGUAGAUUUAUUUGAAGAAAAAUACUUUUUUUAAAAAAUAUUUUUAUAUUUUUUAUUGUUUGAAAUAUUUUAAAAUUUUAAUUAAUAAAAAAUAUUUUCUUAAUCAAAAGAAAAAAUAAAUCAUUUGAAAAAAUAAUUUUCUCUUUUAGAAAAAUAAGAUUAUUUUUUACACUUUAAAAUUUUUAUAUUUAAAUUUAUUAAUAAAAUUUGUUUUAUAAAUAUAAAUUAUUUUUCAAAAAAACAGCGGCAUAUUUUAUUGAUACCAACAAAUCCUGCCAUUAAAUUACCCCUGGACGCCCAUCAACUCCAUUACACCAUGCAAUUUGACAAAACAGAGAAUAAACUCAAAAUAAUGAAAAAUUAGUAUUUAGUAUGAUAAUUAAUUACUUAUAUUCACAGUUAUAAUUUGAUGAUCAUAAAUAUUUAUUUAAAUUCUUAAAUUUUCUUUCUCAAUCCUUAAUUUUUUAUUUAAAAAAAUAAAAAAUUAAUUAGUCUAUAUAUUUUCAAAAUAGACCGACUAAUCUCUGCAGUUUUAAAUGCAUAAUUAAAAAAUUAUUUUUAUUAAAUUUUAGUAUUAUUAUCGUUAAUAUAUACAAUAAAAUGUGAGAAAAGUUAACUAUUAACACUUACCGUGAAAUAUCUUUUAAUUGAAUUUUUGAAAUCACAUAAACUAUUUAAUAUAUUUUUUAAUUAUUAUUAAUUUUUUUUAUGUUAUAAUAAUAAAUAUGAUAUUCUAAAAUCUAAAGAAUAGAGUUUUCAUAGUUAUGUAAAUUUAGAUGGAGAGAAAGAUAUUCUUCUUUUUUUAUUCAUUUCCUUUUAUCUGAUAGUGACACGUAAUGGACUCUCUACUACAGUUUACCUGUUUUUAUCAUGCAGGUCUGUACAUAUAAAAGUGUCAAAUAUUCUCUUCACACUAGAUUAUCCUCUUCACAUCAGACGGUUCUCUCGACACGCGUAGAAGUAGAGUUGCGAACUGACUGAAUUUAUUCUUUCCUUACGUCAUGUCACCAUACUGAGUCUGUAAUGAAUGGACCCUGUGUUUGUGAGUGACUUUAUCUGUUCUAUAGGGUCGAAUCAGGAAAAUUUUAUAAAUUUUGAAUCAACAAGUCCGACCUCAUAUGGAGAUGAUAAAUGCCAAGGAUCAUCAAUAUAAAUUAAUUAUUAAAAGAUGGUCAUAAGAGAACAUAAUUACAUAUAAAUAAAAUAGGACCACUUGCAUUGCAUGUCCAACCAAAACAGUGAAUCCAAUGCUAAUAGUAAGCAGCCAUCAAAUCAAAAAUUCAAUCGGAUGGCAUAAAAAAAACACAGAAUAAUAUGAGAAGCACAGAAUUAGACCUAAGAAAUUAACAACCAAUUGGAUUUGGUCCAUUAUGUUAUAUGCCAAAACUGACCUUUCUUUUUCCUCCUCCUCCUUAUUCUUCUUUUUUUACUUUUUCUUUAUAAAUACAGACAAAGCCGGCCCCGAUCGUGACACAUAAUUAUUUUCUUUUUGAGUCCCACCCCCCUUCACUCCGAUCAAUCCCCCACUCUCUCUCUCCCCCAAAAUUUACUAUAUUUAAUUUUAUAUAUUUUAAUCAGUAUAAAAAUUAUAUUUAUAUUAAUUUAAAUAAUGAUUUGAUAAUUUUAAACACUAAAAAUUAUUAUUUUAAAAAGUGAAGUGUGAUAGUAUUGAUUUAUUUUGGAAUAAUUAUAAAAAUUAUUAAAUAGAGUUAUAAUUAUUAAUUUAUAUAUUAUUAUAAUAUAAAAAAAUAAAUAAUAAUUUUAAAAUAAUUAUAAAAAAUAAAAAAAAUUAUAAAAUAAAACGAAUGUUAAAAUUAUAAUUUUAUUAUUUGAAAACCAACCCUUCGCAAUAUUCCUUAUUACUAUCCAAACACGUUAAUAAAAAUUUAUAUUCCUCCUUAAUCAUUACCUUCUUUUAUUCUCCUUCUUUUAUUUUACUUCCGCUAUCCAAACAUGGUGUUUAUCAAAUACCCGAGCUGUCCCUGCUUAUAAACUAGUACAAAAGUUUGUAAGAAAAGUAAGAAAAGCUGGGCCGUAAACUACAGCUUUUAGUUAAGACCAAAGUCUUCAGCUUUGCCACGCGUUCUCAUCUCAAUUGUUCGUGUAUUUUAGUCGUUGAAAUGGAGCGUGGUAAAGUGGAUAAGAAUUGCUAAGCUGGGAGGGGUUAUUAGAGAAGAAGAAAAAGGAAAGACAGAACAAAAAAACGGAUUUUUCGGUAGAAGGUUUGAAGUAGAAAGAAAGAAUGAAUACGAGAGAGGAAGACUAUUAAGAGAAAAAGGAUCAAUCAGUUAUGCAGAGGAGCUGGAAAGAAACCUCCGGGAAAGAUACGAGAAACGGAUAGAUUUUUUAGGGUUUCUGUUCUUUUUUUCUUGUUUUCACAGAGUAAUUAUCAUCGCCUCGUUGUGGUUUCCUGGAAAUUGAAUCGAGUUAGACUUGGACUUGGUGUUUCUUCUUCUUCUUCUUCUUCUUCGCACAGUUGUCUUGAAAUUUCGCAAGGAUUCUCCUUUUCUUGCAGAGAUAGAGAUGGCUUUGGCUAUGGCUUCUUCUUCUUCUUCUUCUGCUACUGUGGCGGUGGAGAAGGCGACUAGUGAUCUUCUAAUCGGUCCUGAUUGGACUAUGAAUAUCGAUAUUUGCGAUUCUGUUAAUUCAAAUAUUUGGUAAAGCUUUUUUUUACUUUUUCUUAUCAUUUGCAAACCUCUUGCUGUUCCUUUUGGAUUUGACUUUUUAUGUUUUUGUGUUUUUAUUUAUAAUUUCAUUAUUUGCUAUAUUAUCUUAUCAUAUGGUUACAGAUAAAAAUAGGCGAGUUGCCAUCUGUGUGUUUAUGUUGUUCUUCUUGAUAUGUAUGUUCGCAAAAUUGCAGGGUUGUAGUGUUGAUUUAAUUUAUUCUGAUGAAUUAAAUUCGAAUUUCAUUUUUUUUUUUAAGUUUCUUCUUUAUCCAGUCUAAGAAAUUAGGAAACCUAGAAGGGAGAAGAAAUCUCUUGCAUAAGUUUUGAACUUUUUCAUGGUUAACAAGUUUCCCCAAGCUUUAUUGUAAAGACUGCUUAUAUUGAAGGGAGAGGAUCGAUUAAACCUGUAAUAGAGUUUGCGUUUAUUUGAGGACAGAUCACUUGGUGAAUAGAGCCCUAGUCUGCUGGUGGUGGUGGUGGUGGAUUUCAAUUAAAUUUCUCUUAUUAAUUAUUUUUUGAAAAGUUGACUGCCUUUUAGGAACAUAAAAUGAGUUUUGUUUUGCUUUGCUGAUUAGUAGAUUUUGGAUUUCUUAGGCAAGCAAAAGAUGUUGUGAAAGCUGUGAAAAAAAGGUUACAGCACAAGAACCCUAAAGUGCAACUUCUGGCAUUAACGGUAUGUUUGUUGGAGUAAUUUUUAUGUUAUCUUUUAAUUGAGCUGGGCACAUCUCUUUUGAGCUAAAAUCCUAUUGCAUAAUUGUGUCUGUUUUCCAGAACAUUUUAUUUUUUGCAAACAUUUUAUUAAUUCAGGAAUUAUAAUGCCAUUGUAUCCAAAUUUUUUUAUUCUUUUUCGUGAUUAUCACUGUGUGCUAUAUCUUCUCUGCAGCUUUUAGAAACAAUGGUGAAGAACUGUGGUGAUUACGUCCAUUUCCAAAUUGCUGAAAAGAACAUAUUGGGUGAGAUGGUCAAAAUUGUAAAAAAGAAGGUACCCUUUGAUUCUCUCGGUAAAUGUAUUUCUCUUCUCACAUGCAAGGCUGUUAAGAGUUUCCACCAACAUUCAUUGUUGCUGUGUUUGUAAUAAGAUGCUAUUACUCCAUGUCUUAGAAAUCAAUAUAAUGGUUGGUUUGGGAUUUUCAUGUAACUUGAAGGCUUGAAUCCAUUCUGUUUCCAGAAUCAAUCUGUUCUUGUGUUUUUUCUUUAACUCUAUUAAUGAAAAUAGUAAAAGUGUUAAGAAAGUUGUAAUGGUGUAACUAAGGUUUAUGUGUGUAAUAAUGUUGUUGAACCAUUUGCAUUUGGGAACCAAUGAAUUGUUGGACUUCUGUUUUUUGUCAAGCUACAAGUAUGUUUAUGCUCUGGCAGCAGUCAAAUAGACACGAGUAAUUAUGUUUCAACAAAGUUUGCUAGUUGUUUAAUCUAGCAGGCAGCCCUUUUUUUUUUCUUUUCGGUAAUUGUAGUCGUAGCAAUUUUGUUGAAGUUAUUUUAGGUUAGAUGGACUAUCGUUGCAUUUUAGACAAAAUGAACACAGUUGACAUUCCAGAUUGAGAUUUAAGUUGUUUUGCUGGGUUUCUUAUUUUCGUGUUUGCUACCAUAUUUUAUUAUCUAACAGGUUGCUGUUGUAUCACCUAUCCUUUUAUUUUUAUGCAUUUCCUGAUAAUUGAUAAGAUAUUUAUUAUUACUUUGCUUGUUGCUUGGCAUUUUGGCCAUGGUUCUCUAUAUUUCAUCUUUUCUGUGGAGCUUAAGUCUUGUCCUAAAUCCUAAAACAAAUGUUUCGAUGGUUGGCAGGCUGAUAUGCAUGUAAGAGAUAAAAUUCUGAUCUUGCUGGACUCGUGGCAAGAGGCUUUUGGGGGGCCAGGGGGAAAACAUUCUCAGUACUAUUGGGCAUAUGAAGAACUAAGGGUAAGCAUUUAGCUUUAGUAUUAAAUUAUUCUAUUUGGUGGCACUAUCUUGCCUAUGGCACGAGCCUCUUAUUGUUGGCCAUCAUUCAGUAGCGGAGCAGCACUUGGGGUCUUAGCCUGUUUUGAGAUCACGCUGAUUUUGUGAUCCAUCAUCCAUUUUUAAUAGGAUUGCAGCGUUUCAAAUAUAAGGAAAAUUCUUUGUGGGGAUUAUCAUUGAUAUUACACUGUCGACAAUAUGUACAAUUAACCUUUAGAGCCUGAACUUCUAACUUAUGGUUUAUACAUAUGGCAGCGUGCUGGAGUGGUAUUCCCUCAACGGUCCCCGGAUGCAGCUCCAAUUUUUACACCUCCUGUUACUCAUUCAACAUUGAGGCAUGCUCAAGCUGCAUAUGGGAUGCCUAGUAAUUCUUCUAGAAGACUUGAUGAAACAAUGGCAAUGGAGUUUGAAGGCUUAAGGUAAGAGUUGACACACUGUAAUAGUCUCUGUCAUACUUAUUAAAAAUACUAAAACUAUUGAUUUCUUUUAACUGAUAUUUCUCUUAAUUAUUUUAGUUUGUCAGGCUUGGAUUCCAUGCGGAGUAUUGUGGAGCUCUUAAAUGACAUGCUGCAAGCUGUGAACCCUGAUGAUCGCGAGGUGUGUGCAAUGAUUACCUUUUCUCUGUUCUCUCUGGAACAUUGGAGUAAUUGUUUGAAAUGUUUAUUGUUUCCUUUUAGGCUCUAAAAGAUGAAAUUAUAGUUGAUCUUGUCAAUCGCUGUCGAUCCAACCAGAAAAAGUUGAUGCAGAUGCUAACUACAACUGGGUUAGUUCUCUUCAAAUGUCUUAAUACUGGCAAUGCCUUGUCAAGCUUUUAGCACGUCCUUGAUCUGAUAGAGGAAACUAUUUAGCUCAGGGGGUGGGCGGUGGGUGGGGGUGUGUGAAAGAGAGAAUGUGUUUGCCAAUGAAAUUCUGGUGUGUGCAAGCCUCAAAGUGUCUUGUUUUUGUGGCAGGGAUGAGGAACUUCUUGGUCAGGGUCUUGAAUUAAAUGAUAGAAUACAAACCUUGCUUGCCAAACAUGAUGCUAUAGCUUCUGGUUCACCCAUGCCAGCUGAAGUUGAUAAUUUAGGUCCCAAGUCCACUGAAGAAUAUUCCUCCAAUAUCCAACCAACUCAAGUAAAAGACGCCAGCCCAAGUUCUAGCACUAAUGCCAAUGUGUCAGUUGCUAAUGUACCAAGGAGCCCUAUUGAUGAAGAAGAUGAAGAGGAGGAUGACUUUGCACAGCUAGCUCGGAGGUAUUACUGAAGCUUAAUCUUACAUGUUGUUUAGGGUUGGUAGAAACUAUGCAAUUUAACCAGACAACAUAAAAUGUUGGACCUUUUCUGGAUGUAGACCUCGUUUUUUGGCUUUGUGAUGGAUCCAUUUGGAUCCUUCAGUUCCUCUUCAACCUUUAUGGAGGACUCCUUGAACUCUUUUUAUUGGCAUUUCACCUACAUGAUGCAUUUCAUGGAGUUCUAACUUCCUUUCAUAUUUGUUAUUUCCCCUGUCAAUGUAGGCAUUCAAAACCACAGUCAAGUCCAUCUGAAAGCACAUACGGAACCAGUGAGGCUAUUGCUUCUACCACCACCAUUUCAACUCCUGUUCCAUGCACUGCACUAGCUCUUCCUGAUCCACCUGCACCAGUUAGGACUACAAAAGAGCAAGAUAUAAUUGACCUUUUGAGUAUCACCUUAUCAACACCAACAUCGGAUCAUCCCCACACACCUCAUACUCCAACAGCUGCUACACCGAGCAUGCCUCAAGUACCAGCCUCAAGCACUCAAGGGUAUCCUUAUAUUUCCCAGACAUAUCCUGGAAACCAAGGGCAAUCAACUUACAACAAUUAUAUCGUUCCAUGGGCCCAGCCUCAACCCCAACACCAUUUACAAAUUCCAUCUCAGCCCCAUUUACAGCCUCAAAUCCAGCAGCAAAUGCAACCUCAACCUCCACUGCAAUUUCAGUCUCAAUCUCAACCACAACCGCAUACUCAGCCUCAGCUGCAAUUUCAACCCCAAUCUCAAUCACAACCACAAUCACAUCCUCAACCUCAGCAGAAGUCUCAAUCAUCGUCUCAGUCACAGCAACCUUGGCCUCAUCAGCAAUUCCAACCUCAAUCUCAAUCUCAACUGCAGCCACAACCUCAACCUCAGCAGCAGUUUCAAUCUCCAUCUCAGUCACAACCUCAACCUCAGCAGCAGUUUCAAUCUCCAUCUCAGUCACAACAUCCUCCGCCUCAGCAGCAAUUCCAACCUCAACCACAAUCACUGCCUCAACCUCAACCUCAGCAGCAGUUCCAAUCUCCAUCUCCGUCAGAGCAUCCUUGGCCUCAGCAGCAAUUCCAACCCCAGUCUCAACCACUAUCACAGCCUCAACCUCAGCAGCAAUUUCAGAUUCAUUCUCAAUCACAACGUCCUCGGCCUCAGCAGCAAUUCCAAUCUCUGUCUCAACCACCACUUCAUACUCAGCAUCAGCAACAAUUUCGACCUCAAUCUCAACCACAACCAAAUGCGCAAUCUCAGCUACAAUACCGACCUGAAUCUCAACUUCAGUUUCAGUCUCAACUGCAAUCACAGAAUUCUCAAU
This 55605-nucleotide long non-coding RNA is filed under the name Manihot esculenta (cassava). RNAcentral describes it as "long non-coding RNA (MESC_LNC005634)". The stretch from base 16286 to 16443 matches the Rfam family "MIR164 microRNA precursor family". The record is from RNAcentral. Lineage: Eukaryota; Viridiplantae; Streptophyta; Magnoliopsida; Malpighiales; Euphorbiaceae.